Molecule: long non-coding RNA, 50436 nt
Filed under: Ananas comosus (pineapple)
Lineage: Eukaryota; Viridiplantae; Streptophyta; Magnoliopsida; Poales; Bromeliaceae
Description: long non-coding RNA (ACOM_LNC003492)
Source: RNAcentral
UGUAGUUCUCACCCCACUAUUUCCACAGAGCCGGAACCGAGCGAGCCGGCGAGCGACCGCGGUAAAGGUAUCGCACCGUAGUCAGAGGCCACCGGAGUUGGGUUACAUUUUGUUAGUAGUUUACCCCCUUUAUCAUCUUUGUAUUUGAUGAUUAGUGAUGUAAAGAAAAGAAUGUAAUGUUCAUUUUGAGGUAAAUGUGAUGUAAAAGAAAUGAUGAAAGAAUGUAAAGAUUUUGGGAUAGAUACAACGUAUGUGAUCAAAAUGAAUCAUAUUACUUGAGAAUGUUUAGUUUCCUUUUCUUUCACUAAUGGCUAUUGCUUACCCUCGUGUAAGCCGUUUGUGUAUGUUUCCGCUAGUGCACUUCUUAUUGAAAAUGUACAUGUGAUGAGCCUUGGGCGGAUAGGGAAAACUCUGUCCGUUCGGCGUCUGUUUGACGUGCUCGGGUCGGGCCUAGUAGGCAUCAGUCCCGGGGCGUGACAGGUCGAGUCUUGGAUUGACUCGAUGGAAACCCUCUUCGAUGAUUUGCGUACCUUGGAGAGGGACAAGGUGUACCUCGCCACCCAUUGCUUGGAAAAGGCGGCGAAGGUUUGGUAGAAGCGCGUCAAACGGGAUCCGCUUCCCGGCCUUCCGCCAAUGUUAUGGGAGGAAUUCAAGCGGGAGCUGUUCACCAACUAUUUCCCCGAUACCUUGAAGCGAAAGUUCAAGGAGAAGUUCCGCAAGCUAGAGCAAGGGGACCGCUCAGUGGCGCAGUAUGAACAAGAAUUCUCCCAUAUCAUAGACUGUGUCCCGGAUGUUGUAAAGGAUGACUGGGACCGGGCCGAGUGGUUCUUGCGAGGACUUCGGCCGAGAGUUUACAAGGCCGUGCAAAUACUCAAGCUCACGACCUUUGCGGAGGUCUUCGAUCGAGCGCUAUGGGCGGAGCACGGAGAUGCCCACGUUCAGGAGAAACGUGAGCUUUUGGCUGAGUCCAAGGAUAAGGGCAAGAAACGCCAGGGCGCCGGUAGUUCGGGGGGACAAACACGUUACAAGAAACCCCCGAAAUAUCCGCGCACUCAUCAGAAAAGCGGUGGAGCGCGGCGAUGCAUUGUAUGCGGUGGAGACCACCCAGUCUCGCACUGUGAACAAGGCCGAGGCAAGUGCUACAAGUGUGGGCAACCGAGGCACUUCAUUCGGGACUGCCUGGGAGGAGGAGCCUCACCUGCCCCAUCGAUUGCAUUGGUGUCGGCGAUUCCGGCUCACUAUGGAGGAGUUCCAUCGCGUCGACGGGACGCGCGAUGACGCCGCGUCAACCUGAAGUGGCACGAUCGGCCCCGAGCGAACGGGUGUUUGCCGCUCAGGUCCAGGUUGAGGAACCUGCGGAGGCGGAGGAGCAUCGCCUUGUGGCAGGUAUGGUUUUAAUUAACGGAGUUCGCUCCAGGGCUUUAUUUGAUACGGGAGCCACGCAUUCAUUCAUAAGUAGAUCAUUCGCACGCAUGCAUGGCAUACUCAUAGAGGCGAGUGACAAGUGGCGAGUGGAGGGCCCUAGGUCAACGUUUAACACCUACUCGGAGUGUGCGUCGUGUCCUGUGCAAAUAGGCGACUGGAUUAUGCCUAUCCGGACACUGGAACUCACAAAGCUUGAGGCUUAUGACGUCAUUCUGGGCAUGGACUGGCUCUCGAAAUAUCACGCGACGAUUGACUGCAAGAGCAGGGUGAUCACAUUCCAUGAGCCAGGACAAGAGGAGUUCACAUAUCGGGCUUGUCAAAGCUCGUGCUUCCUCGCGACGGUGUCGGCGACGAGAGCGAGGAAGUUGGUCAACAGCGGUUGCACGACAUUCUUAGCGACUGUUGUGGAAGUGGAACGAGUAGCUCCAACAUUAGAGGAGUUGUCCGUGGUGCGGGAAUUCCCGGAUGUGUUUCCUACGGAGUUGCCGGGGAUACCACCGGAUCGGGAGAUCGAGUUCGUCAUAGACUUGGUUCCCGGUACCGCACCGAUCUCGAAGGCUCCGUACCGAAUGGCGCCGGCGGAAUUGAAAGAGUUGAGGAGUCAAUUGCAAGACCUCCUCAACAAGUAAUUUAUCCGGCCAAGUGUAUCACCGUGGGGAGUCCCGGUGUUGUUUGUACGGAAGAAGGAUGGAUCGUUUCGACUCUGCGUGGAUUAUCGAGAGUUGAACAGAGUCACGAUCAAGAACAAGUACCUACUACCCCGAAUCGAUGACUUGUUCGAUCAGUUGCAGGGGUCGUGUGUGUACUCGAAGAUAGAUUUGCAAUCCGGCUAUUACCAGCUGAAGAUCAAGCCGGAGGAUGUGCAGAAGAUCGCGUUUCGCACGCGGUAUGGACAUUACGAAUUCAUGGUCAUGCCAUUUGGACUCACGAAUGCUCCAGCGGCAUUUAUGGAUUUAAUGAAUCGUGUCUUCAGAGAGUAUUUGGAUCGAUUUGUCGUGGUCUUCAUAGACGACAUAUUGGUCUAUUCUCGUAGUGACGAGGAACAUGCCGAGCAUUUGAGAAUAGUGCUUCAAGUCUUUCGGGAGGAGAAGCUAUAUGCUAAACUGAAGAAGUGUGACUUCUGGCUCCGCGAGGUAUCCUUCUUAGGGCAUGUGAUUUCCGCGGGUGGAGUUUCUGUAGACCCGAGGAAAGUUGAGGCAAUCAAGGAUUGGCCGCGCCCGACGAAUGUCACGGAGGUUCGAAACUUCGUGGGCUUAGCAGGCUAUUAUAGGCGGUUUGUGGAAGGCUUUUCCAAGAUAGUGAUUCCGCUUACCCGCCUGACUCAGAAAGGCACCAAGUUUGUUUGGAGCGAAGAGUGCGACCGGAGUUUCAAAGAGUUGAAGCAGAGAUUGACUUCGACCCCGGUGCUCGCUCUACCGGUGCAGGGCGAAGACUUCGUGGUCUACAGUGAUGCCUGCUAUCUUGGAUUGGGGUGUGUAUUGAUGCAAAACAGGAAAGUGAUCGCUUAGCAUCCCGUCAGCUGAAGAGCUAUGAAAAGAACUACCCCAUCCAUGAUUUGGAGUUAGCGGCGGUGAUUUUCGCCUUGAAGCUGUGGAGGCACUACUUAUAUGGUGCCCAUUGUGAGAUCUAUACCGACCACAAGAGCUUGAAGUACCUGUUUACACAGAAGGAGCUCAACAUGCGUCAGCGGCGGUGGUUGGAGCUGUUAAAGGAUUAUGAUGUUGAUAUCCUCUACCACCCCGGGAAGGCAAAUGUGGUCACAGAUGCACUUAGUAGGAAGUCGGCGAAGAACCUCGCUUUUGAUGUUACCCAGCAAACACCCCUAUGGCUGGAUAUGGAGCUAUUGGACCUUAAAGUGGUCGCUCCCGAGGUCCCGACUCAGUUAAUGGCACUCGUUGUCCAACCGACCUUAUUGGAGAGGAUCAAAGAUCUGCAACCCGCAGACCCCGAACUCCAAAAGGUGCGGCGAAACAUCGAGGAAGGGCAUGGCGGUGAUUUCAAGGUAGACGCCGAUGGUACGCUUCGGUUUCAAAACCGAUGGUGAGUGCCGAAGGAUGGAGACCUUUGUGAAUUGAUUCUACAAGAAGCACACCGAUCUCCAUAUGCCGAUCACCCGGGCGGCACCAAGAUGUAUCAAGGACUAAAAAUGCACUAUUGGUGGCCGGGAAUGAAAGGUGAUAUUGGACGCUUUGUGGCGAAGUGCCUAACAUGCCAACAAGUGAAGGCCGAGCGUCGAUUUCCAGCGGGAAAGCUUCAAAGCCUACCAAUCCCUGUUUGGAAGUGGGAGGAUAUAUCGAUGGACUUCGUGGUCAGCUUGCCUCGCUCAAUAGGCGGCCACGAUGCAAUUUGGGUAAUUGUGGACCGAUUGACAAAGUCGGCUCACUUCUUGCCGAUCCACACCACGUGGUCGGGCGACAAGUUAGCGCAGGUAGACCUUGACGAGAUAGUGAGAUUGCAUGGGGUGCCGAAAUCGAUCGUGUCGGAUAGCGACCCCCGGUUCACUUCGCACUUCUGGAAGAGCCUGCAGGAAGCCUUGGCACACGGCUCGACUUUAGCACCGCAUUUCAUUCUCAGACCGAUGGGCAAACAGAGAGAACCAUUCAAACUCUGGAGGACAUGUUGCGAGCGUGUGUCAUCGACUAUAAGGAAAGUUGGUGUGACCACCUACCUAUGGCCGAGUUCGCCUACAACAACAGUUAUCAUACUAGUGUGGAGAUGGCACCGUUCGAGGCUCUCUAUGGGCGAACGUGUCGGUCUCCUAUACACUGGAGCGAUGUGGGUAAACGUACAGAAUUCGGCCCCGAUGUUCUACGAGAAGCGGAGGAGAAAGUCCGUCUUGCUCGCAAGAGGUUGCUCACGGCGUAGUCGAGACAGCAAAGCUAUGCAGAUAGGCGCCGACGAGAUAUAGAGUUUGCGGUGGGCAACCGCGUAUUCUUGAAAGUUUCACCGAUGCGGGGUGUGAAGCGGUUUGGAGUGCGGGGAAAAUUGAGUCCCCGAUACAUUGGACCAUAUGAGAUACUGGAGCGAGUCGGCACGGUGGCCUAUCGACUUGGUUUGCCGCCAAAGCUUGCGGAUGUACACAAUGUGUUCCAUGUCUCCAAUCUCCGCAAGUAUAUUCACGACCCCGAGCAUGCGAUGCUAUAUGAGCCACCGGAACAUCAAGAAGACUUGAGCUAUGAAGAGUUUCCGGUAGGGAUUAUCGCCCGAGAGGUGCGAAAGUUGAGAAAUCGAGAAAUUCCCUAUGUGAAGGUUAGGUGGAGCAAUCACGAGGAUCGCGAAGCCACCUGGGAACUCGAGGAUCUGAUGAGAAAACACCAUCCUCAUCUAUUCGAGGAGUAAGAUAUGGAUUUAAGUUAAAGUUAAUAAUUGAGUUCGUUUUGAGGACGAAACUCCUUUUAAGGAGGGGAGAUGUAAGGAAGUGAAUUCUCGAUAUCCGAGGAUUGUACUUUAUCCAGAAUUGACUAACUGUCGAGUGAAUACCCAUGGUGGGAGUUAAAAAUGUCCAAAACACAAAAAGUGCUUUGGAGUUGAGUCCGCGAGAGCAAAUAGGCGAAAUAUGGACUAAGCAGAUUUUUGCUCUCAGGGACCGGUCGCUGGAAGGGGGAGACCGAUUCCCGUAGCUGAUGGUCGCGGGGGAGGUCGAUGCGACCGGUCCCUGGCUGAGGGGACCGGUCCCCGUGCGCGACACCCGCAAGAGGAAGCCUAAAUUUGGCUAAGUCCUGAAAGUUCCCCGUUCCGGAACCGGUCUCUCAGGAAAGACCGGUCUCCCAGGGACCGGUCCCUCGGGUGAGGACCGGUUCCCGUACCUGAAAAGUCCCCAGACUACAGGGAGGGUUCUCGGGGACCGGUCUCCCCGACUAGGGACCGGUCCCUCUAGGCGAAAACAGCCUAGUGACAGCUGCGUGAGAGAUGAAAAGUUGAGGGGUUUAAGUGCAAAAUGGCCAUCAUGUGAGGGGUGUAUAUGGGAAAUAACCCUCUCCCUCAGCCCCUCUCAUCUCAUUCCCUCUCUAUCUCUCAUUCUCUCUGGCUCUCUCUCUCUCUAGAAAGGAAAGGAGAAUAAGAAGAACAAGAAGGAGAGGAAGGAAAAGAAGAAGAUGAUAAGGAAGGAGAAGAAGAAGGAGAUCAAGAGGAAGGCUUUGGACACCUUCAUCUCCCUCUCCUCUUCUCUUUGGUGUAGCACAAGAGGUAAGCUCUUGAACCCUAGCUUCUAGAAUUUGGGGUUUUGGGUUUUAUGCUUUGGAAUGGGUCAAAUAGACCCUAAGCAUGCUUCUAAGUAGAUCAAUCCCAAUAAUCUAGCGAUUUAUUGGAUGGUUUGCUAUAGGUGCAAACCUAAGGCUCCAAAAUGGGAUUUUUGUGAAAGUAUGAGAUUGAUCUCAUUUGAAGCCUUGGAAACCCUAUUGUUAGGUCACAAAACGUGGGGGCGAAGUCGGUUUUGGCAUUCGGCGAGCCGGCGUGAAGUUCUCGGCAAAAUAGGGCCGGGUUAGCGUUGAUUUGGGCAAGGAAGGCUAAAGCCUUUUCGUAAAGUUCGCCGAGAAGGAUUUCCGAAGCCUCUACAUCGAUUAAAGGUGGGGGGUGCCAUCCCGAAACUUUCGAACUCCUUUCUAUGUCUUAGAUUGCAUUUAACUCAUCUCUUACGUGUUGCAUUAUAGGAUUGCAUAGUAGCUCCCUUCCUUAUGCUAUCUAAAUGAUAACCUAGUGUACUUGGAACGCUUGGUGACUUAGAUAGGUGGGGAUUGGGUCGGAACGUGGAUCCUAUGAUGCGAAAGAAAAGAGAUGUUCCCGAUGGGGGUGUUGAUGACAUAGAAAGUAGUGUUAAUGUUAAAGAACAAACGAGUGGCAUCCAAAUAUUAAAUGAUGACGAGUGGCAUUAAUGUAGUGUAAAUGACACUAGAGGUUUGAGAACCUAGGGAUAGAUGGAUCCCUUAGAAAAUGCCUUGUGGAUAAAGAACUUAGUAAACCUAAGUGUCCUCACGUGGAGAGGUUGUCGAUGAGUCGAUUGAGAUAUUGAUCCUAGUUGUAGGGCAUCCUUACUUGGAGAGGAUUUGAUCGGGUUGUGGACACUAGUGAUAGUGCUUCCUCACUGGGAGAGGAUCCGAUUGGGUUAUUGACUCUAGUUGUAGAGUAUCCUCACUUGGAGAGGACUUGAUUGGGUUGUUGACCCUAGAUGUAGGGCAUCCUCACUUGGAGAGGAUAGAUCUAACUCACAGUUUGCGUUUGGGGUGGUAUAGCCAUCCAAUCGCCACAUGGAGGGGAUUGGCGUCGAGUACUCCGGAGUGUCGCGCGACUAGGACCACUUGGAGGUCCGGACCACAUGGAGGUCCGCAGACGGUCCCGGGCUUGGGUGCACUUGGAGCUCCCUCCCCACUUUGGGAUUGAAAGGUGAGUUAUAGGUGAGCCCUAGGGCCUCGCCAUAGAUUGGGUAAAUGGAAGGUUAAAGGUUUAAUAAUGUCAUUGAACAUUGCUAUUCAAACAUGGAUCGAAUUUGUUAGCAUGGUAGCAAACCUUUAUUAUAUGAUGCAUGCAUUCAUAUUCAUGAUUAUGGGCAUAGUAGCAUAGUUUUCCUACUAUCGCAUUUACAGUUUUAAGAUACAUAUCUAUCUAUCUAUCUGUUGUUACUUGUGCCGACUUGGAUAUAGUGGGGAGAUCGGCAGAGUCGGCGGCCGAGCCCACUGGGAACUAUGGAAAAUAGUUCUCACCCCACUCUAUUUCCAGUGCUAGGUUCAGGGCUGUCGAGAGGGGACCGCGGCAAGGGCAUCGCGCCCGAUCAGUGAGACCUUGAUAGUAUAGUAGCUUUCCUUUUUGCAUUAGUACAUCUAUGUAUUGAGAGAGAUUCAUUGUAGGUGAGGACUUGGAGAGCUAUGUAUUUUGGAUGAAUGAUGUAAUCAUUUAAAGAAAAUGAUAUAAAUGAACUAUUGUAAUAGUUAGUAAUGUACUCUCUUUAUUUCACAUGUCUUAUCUUAUGGAUUACUUGCUCUUUGUAUUGUUGGCACUGUUUGUGCCCUCGUUGAAUGUGUAUGUUUAGAAUUUAAUUUCCUGGGUAAAUUCUUGUGCACAUUCUGGUUGUUGAGCCUUGGGCGGACGGGGAGGUGCUGUCCGUUUGGCAGUCCGCCCCCGCGGCCGAAUCGUGCUAAAUUGGUAGUGGUUUCGGGGCGGGGCGUGACAGUCUGCUCCCGACUUGUGAUGGUCGCUCCACACAAGUAGUGCGCUUCGGAGUUGGUCACGAGGGAUAGCCUAUGUAGGGUCCCGUAGGAUAGGGAUGGCCUAUUUGGGGUCCCGAGGGAUAGCCUAUGUGGGGUCCCUCAGACGGUCUCGGAUUCGUAGUUUGAGUCUAGUCUCCCUACGUGUCGAGAUGGCUAUGUGAGUAGUAGGCGAAUCCUUGAGUAAGCCACAAGAUUAAUGAAAAAGUAAAUAGCUUUACUUUUUGGACAUGUGAUGAACUAAUUGAUUAUCUAUUUCAUUGUGCAUGCAUCUUCAUAUACAUGAUUCGGGCACGGUAGCGUAGCUUUACUAUUUUGUUUCCGCAGCUUUCCAUAUCUAUCUACCUAUCUAUUUUUCUACUUGUGCCCACUUGGACCUAGUGGGGAGACCGGCGGAGUCGGCGGCCGAACCCACUGGGAACUAUGGAAGAUAGUUCUCACCCCACUUUUUACAAGUCUGAGUUCGAGUAUCCCCGGCGAGCGCGAGGAUCGUGGUAAGGGCCCAACGCCCUAGUUGCAUUAGCUACCUUCCUUUUUCAUUAGCCGUCACCCCUGUAUUUGAGAGUAGAUGAUGUAUAGGUGUGAGGUAAUUUUGGAAGAUGUAAAAGCACACUACACUUAUGUUUAUGUUUGAAGGUAAAUCGAUGUAUUAAAGAGGUUAAAUGAAUGUAAUAGAUAGAACUUUCUCUCUUUAUUUACUUGUAUGUUUCAUACUUGUAUCUUGCUCUUGUUGUUAGCACUGGUGGUGCUCCUUGUGAUCGUGUAUGUAUGAAUUGAUUCCUCGGUAAAUUCUUAUACAUGAUCCGUUUGCUUAGCCUUGGGCGGGCAGGGGAGGUCCUGUCCGUUCGGCGUCUGUUCGAUGCGCCCGGAUCGGACCAAAUUGGUAGCGGUCUCGGGGCGUGACAGUUAGCGACUAGCUAGAACUUCCUCAGUGUUGUUGUAGAGGGACCCAUUAGCAUCUUUCUUUUGAUUUUUGUAUGAAAGGUGUACAAUUGUAUUUUGUUUAGAGUUCUCCCAGCAUUCAAGAUGCACCUUUUGUUCAACUUAUUGUAUAUCUUGUGAAUAUGUAAAUGUAUUAGACUUGUUUAUAUAGUGGAUAUAUUCCUACCUGUUUUUGUUGUUGUAGAUGCCUAGUGUGCACUGAGAGUGCUUGGUGUACACGAGAGGUCUGUGCACGCACCGGGAGGACUUCCGCUCGAGCCCGGGCGUGACAGAUUAUACUAGUAUCAAAGCCUGGGGUUGAGUCUUAGUGGACUUAGCAUACCUUAGGCCGGUUGAACGAAGAGGAUCAGGAGCAUGAGAGACGAGGUCUUUUGUUACUUAUUGGCGCAAGCAACAUGAUUGGGUCGAGUCUUUAGCUCCAAAAGUGUUGGAGUUAGAUCGAAGUAAACAACUUCUAUGUCCUUGGAGGGUCACGUUGGCGGCUGACAACGUGACAUCGGGGAAUAGUGGGAGUUCACUUCACUACUUUCGCAUGAUUGAGGUUUUGUGAUUAUCAGUGAGGAUAUGAUGGCAUGGGUUGUUUUAACCCGUACCUGUUAUGUUUGUUACAGCUUGGAUUGCCAACGACGCGCUCCGUAGGGGCUGAGGUGGCCAAGCCGGAAAAGUUUGCAUUCUCCGGAUCCGGUGUGAUCUGGGAGUUAAGUUAGCAGGUAGCUAUUUUAGUUGGCGUGGUGGAGNAGCGACAGUCGUCUGUGGCGUUAUUCCAAGUUGAGGCUUUCGACCGACAGGACGAGAGAAUCAGGCAGCUGGAGGACUUGUUUAUUCAACAGGCAGCCGACCUCAAGAAAUUUCAUGAGACUACAGAUCGCACCUUAUCAGUGGGGAUAAGCAUGGAGACUGUUUGGACGACGAAAGAUGCCACUAGGGGUAGCAAGUUAAGUGUAAGAGGACCAUCAAGGCAUUCAAAAAAUUGAUCUGGAGGACGUGGUUUCUCAUCGGGGAGAAAAACAUCUAAUCGUCGACAACUAUUACAAUGUGUGAUUUGUGGAGGUCCACGCGUGCCUCUACUCAACGUGGAGACAAAUGCUUCUUUUGUGGCCAGUGGGCCAUUUUCGGUCUAAGUGUCCGGAGAAAUUGAUGUCAGUAGCAAUAUCGGUAACGACUUCAUCGCGGAAGGCACCUAGGGAGCGCAUGCCUACAGAUCAGGCGGAGGAUGAUUUACCGACAUAGGAGGUUGUUGCAGGUGUUAUUCUAAGUAAUGAUACUGGAGUUAGAGCAUUAGUUGUUAUGAUUGCAUUACUCAUGUUCCUUGAUCGGCCGUUCGCCGAGUUGCUUAGCAUUGAACUCUUUUCUUGUUGCACAUAGGAACAGUUUGGCCCCGAUCAUACUUUAGAUAAUCGAGAAUACUAUUUUGAUGCUCUGUUAGAAUCGAAGGUCACUGUCGGAAGAAUUUCGAACCGAAAAUGCGUUCAUUCAGCGAAUUUCGCAGAAAAACGCACUGCAAAUCAGUUUUCAAUCUCCGAAAAGGCCUGGGACCUUGGACAACAAGUCCAGAGGUUGCCUGCUGCCCGCACAUGCUGCCAACAGUAGCCAUUUAACGUAUAAUUGCACAAUAACCCUCGCGACUACAUAAAAUCACAUUAUUUCAUGUGAUUUCUGGGGUUUUAUGGCCCGACAGCGCAAACCGAGGAUCUUCCAGUCUGGCCAAUACACCUGCUGACAGGUCUCGAUGUGCCGGAGGCCAUGCUCACACUUCGGAGCACUGCCGGCCAUUGUGGCGAGCGUACGAACGACGCAAAGUUCAGCAAAACAGCAUGCACAGUGCCAAAACUGCAUUUAAUACGAACACUGGGGCUUCGCUGACCCAAAUGGAGGUGAGCACGACGUUCGGCACAGAUCAUAGGUCAUUGUGCUCACUUCCGGGGUUGUCGAGGAGCCUCCGGGUCACCGAAAAAGCGACCGGAAUCCCAAACAGUGCACUGAAUACUAUUAAAAACUUACCGGAGCAUGUUGGAGCCCGAGGGUGGCCGGCGGCGGCCGGACGGCGGGCGGGCAGGCAGGAGACGGGUGUGGCCGGUCAGAGGGGGCCGGGGCACGUGCUUGCCGGCGGCGGGAGCCGGCUAGUGGCGCGGCGGAGAAGAUCGAGCCCGCAUAGCCUCGGCUCGGGUCAAUGACGCAGCGGCGGCCAGGCGGCAGCGGGAGGAGCUUCGGGGCGACGACGGCCGAUCGCUGGAGGCUGAGGGAGGGCAGUGCGGCCGGCAGUGGGUGGCGGCGGUGCACAGAGGCCAAGUUGGCCUCAGCUCAGCCCGUACUGGUUCAGGGUGGUCCAUGGAAGGCCUAGGCGGUGCCGGCGGCGCACGCAGACGGCGGGGGCCGUAGGUGGGUCUCGGCUAGAGGAUGAAGACUCCAAGGGUGUUUGAUGUUCCUUGAGUUCAACGGCAGAGGUUGGAGGCAAGGUGGAGAGAGAGAGGUUGUGAGGGAGGUCGGGAAGGCUAUUCCGGCGGCCGGGGGUGCUCGCCGACAGCCGGGGGUUGGCGCAGCGAGGUGCUGGGAGGUGUUGGAGUUAGCUGGGGCGCAGCUAGGAUAUUGGAUCAGUUAGGGUUAGGGUUUGCAUAAAGAAACCCUAGAUGGCCAUAUAUAAACAAAUUGCACGUUUGCAUGAUAGUCCUCCGACGUUAAUUAUUUAUAACUAAGUCCCUCACAGCGCGAGUGUUUUACGCGUAUGCACCUCCACGUCCGAUCUCGCACAAUUCGGUACAUAAAAUAUAGAGGUUUUCGUGCGAGAUACAAAAAUGCCAAUUUAACCUCUCCUCGAUAAUCACACGAUAUUCGGCAAUCCGUCCAUCGAAUUUUCAAACUGUUCACACCAGUGUGAUCGGCACGACAGAGACAUCCAAUCCACGAUUUUGUUUUGCCUGUUUUGGUCACAGAUUUGCAACGAAACCCAUUCUCUCUCCAAAUACCAAAAACCACACACAUAUAUAUAUGUAAAUACAAUAAACCUCCUUUUUCUCAAAAACCAUGCGUCAGAUCUAAAAUUCGUCAGCGCCAUUGGGUUUAGGACAGUUGAACCAUUGAAAACGAGCUAUUGGAUCACUAUGAACAGAGUCUGAUACGCACCAGAAGCCAUCUCCACUGAUCGGCCUCUCCGAAAAACCGAAGUUACUAUUCACUUUAAGUGAUUAGUAAUGAUCGCGUAACUUCUCCAUCCUAACUCGUUUUCUCCUGAAACUUGACGAGUCCUUAUGUAAUUAAAUUACACACAAAAACAUUGUCAACAAGGAGUUUAGCUACACAGCCAAAAUCUCAGUCUUUAUAGUAGGUGUGAGAGAAGUUUCUCGGAAUUGAGGGCAUGGUUGACAACCGCCCCAGUUUUAACCUUUCCUACAUCGGGAGCAGAUUAUAUAGUAUAUAGUGAUACUUUGAUCUGCCUUGGAUUGCGUCUUUACCGAAAUCGAAAGAUUUUGAUCAUGCCUUUCAUUGGUUGAGGUAUUAUAAAAAGAACUACCCAUCGUAAUCCUUGCCUUAAAGCUAUGGCGACCCUACUUGUGUGGUGAGCGGUGUGAAGUAUACACUAACUAUAAAGUUUAAGAUACCUCCUCACUCAAAGGAUUAAGUUGGAGACAGCAAAAAGAAUUAGAUCUACUCAUGGAUUAUGACUACCAUCUGGGAUAAACCAAGGUGGCGAAGGACACCUUAAGUUGUAAAACGGUAGAGAACUUGGUGACGAUGAUUAUUGUUCAACUAGUUCUACUUGAGGAAACAGAUUGAAUGGAAUUAGAGGUUGUUGCACCGGAGACAUCAAUGAGGUUGACGGCAUGGAUAAUGCAACCUCUUCUUUUGGAUCGAAACUAAGAAAAUGUUCCUAGUGAAACUCAUUGAGCCCUUAUGCUAUACCUCUAGGUGGCAUUAAAAGUAUGAAGACUUGAUGUUGCCAUACUAGUAGCUGGAAUAAAUAAGAUACUGGAGAAUUGUGAUACGAUGCCAGAUGCCACGACAAGUGAAGACCAAGCAUCAACUUCCUGUGAGUAAGUUGGGAAAGCUGUCCAUUCCCAUUCGGAGAUGGGAAGGAAUCACCAUGGAUUUUAGUAUUAGAUUGUCUUGCUCUCAAGCUAGACAUGAUGUUAUUUGGGUAAUUGUGAAUAAGUUGGCUAAGUCAGCGCAUUUCACUUAUAUUCACACUACUUGAUCAUGGGAAAGACUCGCAGAAGUAUAUCUUGAUGAAAUUAUGCGACUUCAUGAAGUGUUUAGCUCUUUUGUUUUGGAGGAGUCUCCACGGAACACUUGGUAUGUGAUUAGAUUUUUGGCACCACCUUUCACCUUCAAAGUGACGGCCACUCAAAGCACACCAUUUGAAUUUUGGAAGAUGUGUGCUUCGGGUGUAUGUCUUGGAUUUUCAAGAUGGAUGACACCGUUUGAAGCCUCCUUGGAAAGGAAAUGUAGACCACCCCUUCGUAGGAGCGAUGUGGAUAAAAGGUUAAUUCUAGAUCCUGACGUACUUGGAAAAGCCAGAAGUUGAGUUUAACCAGCUCGGGAGCAAUUGAUUUCCACGCGAAAUCGACAGAAAAGUUAUGCGGAUAAGCGAUGGCGAGAAGUGGAACUUCAAGCAUGAGGAUCUAAGCUUCAAGGAGCAAUCGUUGAGGAUUUUGGCUUGUGAUGUGUAGUGUACCGAAUUUUUAAUAUAGAAAUAAGUGUAAAUAAAAAUAGUGUUAUGAGAUGGGCUAAGGUGCAAUUGUGCAAAUGAGAGGGGCUAAGGUGUAAUGGUGCAAGUAAUUGAGUUUACUUGUUGGGCAAGUUUCCNCGCAUAGUUGCAUUAUUGCAUGAUUUGCAUAUAGCAUUGCAUUAUUACGUUUGUGAGGCAAUGCAUGGUUUUAUUCGUUGCAUAAUCAAGAUAUAUAUAUAUCUAUCUAUUUAUUAAACUAACCUGCAGUUGCCUUUUUUGAACCUGUUGGUCGAGCAUUUCCCUUGGGUGGCCGUGCCCACUGGGAACCAUGGAGUUGGUUCUCACCCCACGUAGUUUUGGGGUGUUUACAGGUUCGCACGUGAGCGGCGCGGCGGCGCGAGGAAAGGGCGUAGCUCCGUAGAUAGCGCCCUACCCCAGAGACUAGAGCUAGCAGUACUCCGUCGACAUAGCUUAGGGGUUAAAGAAAUGAAAAGAACAUGUGUUUAUGUUGUUUGAUACCUUCCAUUAUGCAAUCUUAAUUGAAAUGUGUUCCUGGUUGGAACUUCACACAUUGUAUUGAUUGCUAUGCCUUGAACGUACAGGGGAGACUCUGUCCGCAGUACAGGGGAAACCCUGUCCGUUCGGCGAUCUGUUACGGCGCCGCGACCCGGCCAAAUAGGCGGGCGGUCGCGGGGCGUGACAGUUGGCGUGACCCGAACCCGACCAAAUUGGCGGGGAUUGGGGCGUGACAACUACUCAGAUUGCUUACAAUCCUAUCGAGUACACCAACAACUCAAGGCCAUUUGUGUAAUAUACGGAAGAUUUCGGGUUGCGAUGCUAACUUUGAUCUAGAAGAUUAAAGUGAAGUUUGAAUUAGAUGUGCAUCAUUCCAGAGUGUUUCUGGACGUGUGGGAAUGAUCUCUGGAGGUAAUUGAGUGUUCGGGCACCAAUCGGGCGCGAAAUGAACUUGAAAGGGGAUUUUCGGAUUAUGACGCUAACUUUGACCUACGCGAUCAAAGUGAGCUAUGAAUGUUAAUUGUAGCACCUCCGAAUUAUUUUGGAAAUGCGAGAAUAGUUAAUAGCAGUCGGAUUUUUGAUUUCGUGGCAAAUCGUGAUCAAAUUGAUCGAAAUAAUGCCAAAACGAAAAUUAAUUGCUUCCAAAUUAAAUUGGCGCUUGGAGAGGUUAUUUGACAUAAUUUGGAAGUGAUUAGAAGUAUUCGAAGUGAACUAGACGCGCAAAAAGGCUUCAAAUUGUUGCUGCCAGUUUGUUGUUAGUGCAGGGACUGAAUUGUAAAGCGCAGGGACCAAAUUGUAAACAGCAAGGCUGCAAUGCACUUUUUGGUUUUUAAGGGAUUAAGUUGCAGUUUUUCAGCCUUAUCCCCUUAAACCUGGUUCCCUGCAUAUGUCCACGUAUCCAGCUCUCUCUCUCUCUCUCUUCUUUCUUUUCGUUUCUUUCCUCCUCUUUCUCUCUCUAGGCUGGUGGAGGUUUGGUUGAAGAAGAAAUUGGCAGCUUGCGUUUUGGGCUUGGUGGAGCUGCCGAAUUGGAAACGCUGCUAUGAAAGCUUCGAAACCUGAGGUAAGGUGCUGUUCCUAGCCAGGAUUUGGUCUAGCUACUCUAUGAGAAGGCUCUAAGAGGUUAAAAGUUGUAUUAGUAGGUGUGAAAUCUAGGAAUUAUGCUGCAGAUAACAUGUUAUGAGUAUGUAAGUGUAAGUUGGUAUUAAAAAAACUGAAAUUGAUGUGUAGGGAAGUUAAUUCCUGGUUUGGAGGGGUUUGUGCAAGUACCUUCUAAGGAUUGCAAUCACAGAUUUUAAGUAUUAGGAUUCCUAAUACCAUAGAAAAGCUUAGGGGAAGUUGUGGCAGCAUGUAUAUAUAUAUGUCUAUAUAUAUAUAUAUACUUACGAAUGGUAUGUAAGUGACCUAUUGAUUCAAAAUGGAAACCAGGGAUAGGGCAGUCCUAAUUCCUGUUUAGUAUUAUUGUAUUCAUUCAACCUAGGGAAGGAUUUGAAUCACUAAUUUGGAUUGUUAAAGCUCUCAAGUGCCAUGAGAAUCUACAAACCAUGCUAAGUUGAUAGCAUGUGAAACUUAAGUGCUAAUUCUAUGAUGAGUUAGAGUAAUUAUUUAUCAAAAGGAAGCUUGAAUUAGAGGUCAUGAAUAUUGUGUAAUCACCUUCUAAAGAGACCUAAAUUGCAAGUUUAAGUAUUAGGGCUCUUAAUACCAUGAAAAGGCUUAAGGGAAUUGGUGCUGGCAGCUUAUAUGUAUAUGCAUGUAUCUAUCUAUAUGUUUAUGAAUAGUAUGUAUAUAAGCUGUAACUAAUAGUGAAAUCAGGGAUGAAUUGAUUCAAUUCCCUGGUUUAAAUGAUGUUCCCUGCUGUGUUAAGGAGUUGAUAAAGGAUUGCUAUGAGCUGAAUUACUUACCUUAGAAAUGAUGUUUAUAUGGACUUAUUGUAGCCAUAAGUAGCAGCCUGGAUGCUUCCAGACUUGUAGAGGUGGCCGAACAGCAACCUGAUGCUAUUGGUGCUGAGGAAAAAUUAGUUGGAGUUGUAGGGAAGGUGGCAAAGCUGAGAGUAAUCCAAGAGGACAGCAAUGUAAGCUAAGUUAAUAACUUAGUGUGACUAACUUAAUUGCUCAGAAUUAAUCCAUAAAAGGAUUCAUUAUUGCUGAAAAUUGAGAGUUGAAAUUGAUGUUGUUGGGGCUGCCAAAUCGAAGGAUUCAGCUGAAAGAGAGUUGGGCCUAUUGGAGCUGUUGAUUCAGGAGGCCAGCUAAAACGAAACUCUAGAAAGUUAAGAGCAACCUAGAGAAGCCGAGGUGCUGAAAUUUCUGCAUUGCGCAGAAUUUCAGCAUAGAUUACUUGCUAUUGGAGUUGGAAAAGAGAACUUAGUGAAGCUUCAAAUUGGGUAAGUGAAUAGUUCUUCUCUGAGUUGAGUGAUAGGAGUUACUCUAAAGAGGUUAUAAGUACUUGAAUUAGUUAAUUGGAAUUGGUAUAGGGGCUGCGAAGAGGAAGUAAAGUGCAGAAAAUUCAGCAUGGUGCUGAAAUUUCAGCAUAAGUGCAGAAAUUUCAGCAUUAGAAAUUCCUGCUGUGGAGCUGAGAACGAACUAAUUGAGCAGCGAACUACGGUAAAUAUGAUUGUAUCAUGAUUAGGAAUCAGUUAAUUGUAAUAGAGGGAUGUUAAUUAAGAGUUCUAUGGGUAUUUGAGUUAAUGAAAACUCAAACCUGCAUUGAGGAGUUACUAGUUUGAACCUUAUAAAACUAGCUUACACUCUAUACAUGUACAUACUAGGAAUGAUCAGUAAAGAGAAAAUUGGGAUUAAAUUAGCUUUAAAUUUUGAGCUAAUGGAAAGGCAAAACUGCAUUGCUAAAUUCCUAAUUAAACUCUAUAAAGUUAGCUCACACUAUACAUAGCAUGUAUGUAUAUACAUAUGGAUGUCUAUGGAUAUAAUGUCAAAAUGGAAGACUGAAUUAAGUAGUUUAAAUUCUGAAUUAGAGUAAGAAUAAUGGCUGUAGAGAAAUGGAUUUGGGAGGCUAUUAAGGUCUCUACAUAAUAUGAAAUGUAUAGAACUAACUAUAGGUAUGUACAUAGUGAUACUAUACAUACUAGUUGGGGUUAAAUGCAAAGUUUGUAAAGAUACACAUGUGACUCAAGUUUAACCUCUUUUAUUCCUUUAGGAAGGAAGGGUAAGCGUGCUCGGAAGUUCGAAUUGACAUUUCGACGGACCUACGACGCGGUAAUUAAGAAACGCUUCGUUCUAGCUUUACUUGCAUCGAGUCGCGUGGACUAAUGUUUGUACGGUUCGUGACGUUGGUUCUAGUCUUCGACAUCCCUACAGGUGGGUGGUGCUAUCCGAAGUCUUUGAAUCACCUUUUAUGUCUAUGUUAUUCAUUGAGCAUAUUUACUUCUGUUUUUCAUGCAUUAUAGGGUAUGGGCAUUGGUAUUAUGCAAGUGAUAGUGAAUGUGUGAAUUCUUAUUGAUAGUGAGAACAUAUGAACAUAGAAUGUGGACAUAGAAACCUAUGAAUGCAUGGACUAUAACAAUAGUGAACUUGGUGACAUAUGACUAGAGAUUUGGUUAGCAUCGACAUUGGAAUUAUAAAACUAGCAUAAAGAGCUAGUUAGAGUAAAGUGUGACAGUGUUUGUCAGUUAAAUCCUCUAAAGGGGGAUCAGAUCAUACUCACAUUUGUUUGGUUCAAGUGAGGUCGCUCCUCCUUGAACGAUGAGCUCCGGAGUAGUCAUCUUUACUGGACCAGGAGGUUGCGUCUCCCCCAGUUGACAGUCCCGUCGGGUGCAGGUUGCGUCUCCCCGAUAUUUGGGAUAGUGUCAGUGAGUUAAUGUUAACCAGAGGGUUAACCAAAAGAUUGGGUAAAGAUAAUGAAAAGCAUGCAUGCAUAUUUACAGUUUUCAUAUACAUCGUUUCUUUCAGCUUGUACAGGCAUUGUAGUAGUUACAUAUUAUAGUCGGUUACUAUCNAAAACCGAGUGAUGAGAAUAGGCUUCCUUGCAGGACUUUCGCCUGAUUUGAGUUGGGUUGACGAUAGUUGUUUCGUGUUUGAUCUUGAAGGUCAAGAAUUGGUCACGUUGUUACGCGUUUAGUGGUUUAGUGUAGUUGAUCUCUAAUAAGAUCGAUAUGAUUCGGGAUGAGUGGAAUCCUUGAAUUGACCGGGCUUGAAGGAAACUUGAAGCUUUGGGAUCAGUUAGUCACACCGUGGUGGCGUCGUGGUGUUGUAUAGUCAUAGUUCAAUGUCAGCGAUAGGCUAUAGUGUAUUUGGUGGAUUGAGUCAAUGGACUCUAGAAGGCUGUGAAGUAGUUGGAUAAUCCUUGUGGCCUUCAGGAAAGUUUAGUCCAUCUGUUUUGGAUAAAGGAAUGUUCGCGGGUCAAGAAUCUGUCGUUUGGCUUCAGAAAAAUUUUUCCCUGGAAGGAUUUGUGUAUUGAGGACAGGAUAUAGAGUUUGUUGUUGGAAUAAACGACAGGUGACCUUUUAGAUAAGUUGAGAAACUAUAGCAGAGUGACUGCUUAGUGAAAGAGUAUGUAGAGAGAUUUUUCUGCACGCUGAAGUGUGUUGAGCAUACGUUGUGAGAUAUUGGAGACAAGGCCGAUUACGAGGUGUGGAAGCUUCGAUAGAGGAUGUGUCAAAGUUAUACGCAGUCCUAAUCUAUGAACUUCUGAUGAAGUAUUGAACUGAAUCGUAUGGCUGAGGUCAGGUGAUAUUCGCGCGGAAGGAGCACGAAUGGAUUAGUAAAGAAUGGGGGAUGAACGAUUGAUGUAUGGUUCGGGUGGUCCAUCGAGUGUUAAGCGACACCGGAAGAGAGUUACAGUCUUCAUCCUAGAAUUCGAAAAGGUCUGUCGACUAACUUUUUUUUCAAGAGGAGUGGUUGUGGUAAUCUUCACCGGCAAGGCCGCGUGUAUUAUCGGAUAAGUGAAAUGGUAGUAAAAUGACUUCAGUAGGAAGAUUGUAUACUUGGGAAUGAUGUGAACUCCGAAUAGUAUUUACAAGAGUGUGAUAGAGCCUUGGAUUUAACACUAGCACGCAAGGAUGAAGAAAAAUGUAUCGUCUAUUGUAGAAUAGACGGUUGGAUAAUGCUAGUGGGUAAUUAUAGUAAGCCAAUAUUGGGGCUUGAGAUAAAGAUGGGAAUGGUGAACCUAAAUAGUAACUAUAGUGAGCCACUGUUGGGGCUUGGGAUAAAGAAUGAAUGAUGAACUUGUUUUUUAAAGCAUUCGGAUUGUAAUGAGAAUUAAAUUGAAACGUUAGAAGACGCUUCUAGAGUUCGAAAAUUCGGAUGAUAUUCCAAGAGACUGUGUAAUGGUAAUAGCGUCAUUGUGGUAGAACGGUUAGAUGAUCACCUGGUUUUGGCGAGUUAGUUGAGUUGUACCUCAAAUAAGUUGAGGGAAUUUGUGUUUACAUAUAUGAGGCAUAGGCCGAGUUGCCUAGUGGGUGAUAUCUAAUGAGAGAUGAGAUAGUGUAGGACACUUGAGUUUAGUUGUCCGUAGAGUGUGGAUUGUGGCUCAGCCAAGAGAGUGUGUUGGCAGUAGCACGUGAGCGUUGCUAGGUGUGAAGCGUGCCAUGGAUCACUCGCGGGGCUAGUAGCUCGCACUAAGUACUUAGGAGCCGAUAGUAAUGUGGAUUGCUCGAUAGAACAUGUCGUGUGUGACGACCGUUGAGGAUAUAGCUUGAGGACGAUCCGUGCCUGGACCAUGUGUGGACCUUGGAGCCUGAGGCUAUUCGAGUAAGCAUAGUCGGCUGUGUGCGACAGCGGCCCGAUACCUAUUGGUGGGCAGAGAUUUGGUCAGGACGGUAGUCCGAGCUUAGACUGGUAACGUGGCAUACCACGUAUUGGACCGUGUGAUUAGUGGUACACCGAGAGUGUGAAUUUGACCCAACCCUAAAAUUCGAAAUGGUUUGGGAUUUGGAUUACUCCUGAUUGGAGUAAAUGUGCGAGGUUUCAAAUGAGGACUUUGCCUCGUGAUGAUUGGGUCUGCGCUUGCGAGCGAGACACGUUAAGUGAUAUCGUAAUCAAGUUAGGCGGUAGGCCUAGAUUGGAUUAGGGGUUAUGGACCAGUUUGUGGUAAUCGAGAUAAAUGGUCGAGCCGAUUAUUCUCGAAAUACGAGGGUUAGUGUAGUGUUGUGAAUCGGGGGUAGUGACCUUGGGAGCAAAGGCUCGGUCCUACUGUUUGCCUGUUUUGAAUCGCCGAGUUAGGCGCUGAUGAGGAGUUAAGAUUAGAGGCACGAACAAAAGUGUUCAUGGAGACUCGUUGCGAGAGAUUGGUAUAAUGCGAACGUGGCCGGAAAAGUAAAAGAUUUUCUUUGAGAUCAUUGUGUAGUGGAAGCCACGUGAGAUUUUGGAGGAUUAUGCCUUCAAAUCAUUNNNNNNNNNNNNNNNNNNNNNNNNNNNNNNNNNNNNNNNNNNNNNNNNNNNNNNNNNNNNNNNNNNNNNNNNNNNNNNNNNNNNNNNNNNNNNNNNNNNNNNNNNNNNNNNNNNNNNNNNNNNNNNNNNNNNNNNNNNNNNNNNNNNNNNNNNNNNNNNNNNNNNNNNNNNNNNNNNNNNNNNNNNNNNNNNNNNNNNNNNNNNNNNNNNNNNNNNNNNNNNNNNNNNNNNNNNNNNNNNNNNNNNNNNNNNNNNNNNNNNNNNNNNNNNNNNNNNNNNNNNNNNNNNNNNNNNNNNNNNNNNNNNNNNNNNNNNNNNNNNNNNNNNNNNNNNNNNNNNNNNNNNNNNNNNNNNNNNNNNNNNNNNNNNNNNNNNNNNNNNNNNNNNNNNNNNNNNNNNNNNNNNNNNNNNNNNNNNNNNNNNNNNNNNNNNNNNNNNNNNNNNNNNNNNNNNNNNNNNNNNNNNNNNNNNNNNNNNNNNNNNNNNNNNNNNNNNNNNNNNNNNNNNNNNNNNNNNNNNNNNNNNNNNNNNNNNNNNNNNNNNNNNNNNNNNNNNNNNNNNNNNNNNNNNNNNNNNNNNNNNNNNNNNNNNNNNNNNNNNNNNNNNNNNNNNNNNNNNNNNNNNNNNNNNNNNNNNNNNNNNNNNNNNNNNNNNNNNNNNNNNNNNNNNNNNNNNNNNNNNNNNNNNNNNNNNNNNNNNNNNNNNNNNNNNNNNNNNNNNNNNNNNNNNNNNNNNNNNNNNNNNNNNNNNNNNNNNNNNNNNNNNNNNNNNNNNNNNNNNNNNNNNNNNNNNNNNNNNNNNNNNNNNNNNNNNNNNNNNNNNNNNNNNNNNNNNNNNNNNNNNNNNNNNNNNNNNNNNNNNNNNNNNNNNNNNNNNNNNNNNNNNNNNNNNNNNNNNNNNNNNNNNNNNNNNNNNNNNNNNNNNNNNNNNNNNNNNNNNNNNNNNNNNNNNNNNNNNNNNNNNNNNNNNNNNNNNNNNNNNNNNNNNNNNNNNNNNNNNNNNNNNNNNNNNNNNNNNNNNNNNNNNNNNNNNNNNNNNNNNNNNNNNNNNNNNNNNNNNNNNNNNNNNNNNNNNNNNNNNNNNNNNNNNNNNNNNNNNNNNNNNNNNNNNNNNNNNNNNNNNNNNNNNNNNNNNNNNNNNNNNNNNNNNNNNNNNNNNNNNNNNNNNNNNNNNNNNNNNNNNNNNNNNNNNNNNNNNNNNNNNNNNNNNNNNNNNNNNNNNNNNNNNNNNNNNNNNNNNNNNNNNNNNNNNNNNNNNNNNNNNNNNNNNNNNNNNNNNNNNNNNNNNNNNNNNNNNNNNNNNNNNNNNNNNNNNNNNNNNNNNNNNNNNNNNNNNNNNNNNNNNNNNNNNNNNNNNNNNNNNNNNNNNNNNNNNNNNNNNNNNNNNNNNNNNNNNNNNNNNNNNNNNNNNNNNNNNNNNNNNNNNNNNNNNNNNNNNNNNNNNNNNNNNNNNNNNNNNNNNNNNNNNNNNNNNNNNNNNNNNNNNNNNNNNNNNNNNNNNNNNNNNNNNNNNNNNNNNNNNNNNNNNNNNNNNNNNNNNNNNNNNNNNNNNNNNNNNNNNNNNNNNNNNNNNNNNNNNNNNNNNNNNNNNNNNNNNNNNNNNNNNNNNNNNNNNNNNNNNNNNNNNNNNNNNNNNNNNNNNNNNNNNNNNNNNNNNNNNNNNNNNNNNNNNNNNNNNNNNNNNNNNNNNNNNNNNNNNNNNNNNNNNNNNNNNNNNNNNNNNNNNNNNNNNNNNNNNNNNNNNNNNNNNNNNNNNNNNNNNNNNNNNNNNNNNNNNNNNNNNNNNNNNNNNNNNNNNNNNNNNNNNNNNNNNNNNNNNNNNNNNNNNNNNNNNNNNNNNNNNNNNNNNNNNNNNNNNNNNNNNNNNNNNNNNNNNNNNNNNNNNNNNNNNNNNNNNNNNNNNNNNNNNNNNNNNNNNNNNNNNNNNNNNNNNNNNNNNNNNNNNNNNNNNNNNNNNNNNNNNNNNNNNNNNNNNNNNNNNNNNNNNNNNNNNNNNNNNNNNNNNNNNNNNNNNNNNNNNNNNNNNNNNNNNNNNNNNNNNNNNNNNNNNNNNNNNNNNNNNNNNNNNNNNNNNNNNNNNNNNNNNNNNNNNNNNNNNNNNNNNNNNNNNNNNNNNNNNNNNNNNNNNNNNNNNNNNNNNNNNNNNNNNNNNNNNNNNNNNNNNNNNNNNNNNNNNNNNNNNNNNNNNNNNNNNNNNNNNNNNNNNNNNNNNNNNNNNNNNNNNNNNNNNNNNNNNNNNNNNNNNNNNNNNNNNNNNNNNNNNNNNNNNNNNNNNNNNNNNNNNNNNNNNNNNNNNNNNNNNNNNNNNNNNNNNNNNNNNNNNNNNNNNNNNNNNNNNNNNNNNNNNNNNNNNNNNNNNNNNNNNNNNNNNNNNNNNNNNGCCGUACCCACUGGGAACCAUGGAGUUGGUUCUCACCCCACGUUGUUUUGGGGUGUUACAGGUAUACACGUGAGCGGCGCGGCGGCGCGAGGCGAGGGCGUAGCUCCGUAGUUAGCGCCCUACCACCGAGACCGGAGAUAGCGGUACCCUGAGUCGGCCUUUACUUAGGGAUGUAAGGAAAUGAAAGGAAUCAAGUUGUAAUAAUUUGUAAUAAAAGCAUGAUUGUAUUUGGAAGUUAAAUGUAUUAUGUAAUUGAGAUGUAAAAUGUAUCUAUAUAAUGUGAAUGCUUGUAAUAGCAAGUAGAUUAUGUUUUUGAUACUUCCUUAUGCAAUCUUUGAUUGAAAUGUGUUCCUGGUUGGAACUUUGUACAUUGUAUUGAUUGCGACGCCUUGAAUGUACAGGGGAGACUCUGUCCGCGGUACCGGAAAAACCCUGUCCAUUCGGCGGUCUGUCGGCGUGCCCGAAACCGGCCAAAUAGGCGGGCUCGGGGCGUGACACGAACCCACUGGGAACUUUGUUUAGUUCUCAAACCCUGUUUUGCAGAGCCUAAUACGAGCGCGUGCGUCGAGGAUCACGGCAAGGGUAUCGCGCCCUAGAUAGAGUGGACCAUCGGCAUUAGCUCACUACCAUCGAGUAUAAAAGGAAAGAAUGAAUGUAAAAACCUUUUUGGAAAGAGAAUGUGAUAUAUAUGUUAGAUGUUAGUUUGUAUGUUAAAUGAGAGGUUUUGUAAUAAGCUAAAGAAUGUAAGUUGUUAAACACACUAUGUGGAAAUGUUCUAGUAAGUAGCUUACUUUCUCUCGUAUCUUGAUAUGCCUCUCGCAAAUGUUGAAUGCUAAUAUCUCUUGUUUAGAUAUGUAUGCAUAGACUUUGUUACGCUUCGGGCGGGCAGGGGAAACUCUGUCUGUUCUGCAGGUCUGUUUCGGACCCGAACUGUCCAAAUUGGCGGUGACGGGACGUGACAGAUUGAGGUGGUAUCAGAGCGGAGAGCGGUCUAGGAAGACCUAGGAAACCUUAGGACUUGUGGCCUUAAGGAUUUAGAGACGUGAGAGACGAUGACUCUUGGGUUGUGGCGAAAGUGAAAUGAUUGGGUCAAGUUGUGAAAUAUGUCUCUAAUGAGCUUUAGAGACGGAUUCAAGGUGUGAUUUAAUCUUAGCUUGAGGUGGUCAUGUUGGCGGCCGACAACAUGAUGCCGAGAGAUGAGAUUAAGUACCCUUGUUUAACUUUCGCCUAAUUGGGUUGUCUCGUUGGUGUUACUAACUUAUGUUAGUUAUAAAUUCGUGGAGUGUAACCGGGGGUGCUGUUUCCUUUCAGGACGUGAUGAGACGUGGAAGGCCACCCCCGAAGGUACCUACUCCUGAUCCGGCACCGCCUCUUGAGGUGCCUGAGUCGUCGGUAUCUGGCGAGAUACAAGAUUUGCGGGAUCAAGUUGCCGCUCUUGUUGGAGUGGUGCGGAGACAAGCUGAAGCUUCUCAGCAGCUGGCUGAGGCCUCCCAGCGACAGGAAGAACAGAUGGCGCUGCUUCGGGAAUUGGUGUCCCGACAGGCGGCGGCGACACCUGUCACUCAGCAGCCACCCGUCUCACCUGUGCGCGCCCCUACUGGAGUUGAGGCGGCGGGUGCGGCGGCACCACCGCCGAUGGGGUACACCGUGCCACCAGGUGUGGCGGCGGGCACUUGCCCGGCGAUGUCGAGUACUUCUACUCAUGUUGAUCCGGCGUUGGAGGCCGAGAGGGACCGAGCUCUCGCUUGCCUCACCGCAUUCAAGAAGUUCAAUCCGCCUAUUUUCAACGGGGAGUCGGGUGACCCGUGGGAAAUGGAAUCGUGGGUGGAUACAAUGGAGAAGUUGUUCGAGGAUCUCUAUACCCUUGAGCAAGAUAAGGUGCACCUAGCUGUGCAUUGCCUCGAGAAGUCCGCUCGUGUUUGGUGGAAGGCGACUCGUCAGAAUCGCUCCCCUACAUUACCCCCGAUGAUGUGGGAGGAGUUCCGAGGAUUGCUUUAUGGUGUUCACUUCCCGGAUAGUGAUAAGAAGAAAAUGGAGGAGCAAUUCCGAAUCCUUAAGCAAGGGGAUCGCACUGUUCGAGAUUAUGAGAGGGAGUUCUCUCACAUUGUGAAUUGCGUUCCACAUGUGGUCCGGAGUGACGAAGACAAGGCGGGAUGCUUUGAGCGUGGACUUCGCCGCGAGAUCUAUGCGGCGAUGCAACCCUUAAGGUUGAAGACCUUUACUGAGGUGUUUGAUAGAGCUCUUUGGGUAGAGCAAGGAAUCGCCAAGAUGCGCGCGGAGCGCGAAUCGAAUGAUAAGGGUGCAGAUAAGAAGCGGUCGGCUAGUGGUCCCGCUGGAUCAUCAAAGUACAAGAAGCCCCCGAAGUAUCCGCGUAAGCCGGGGAAGGAUCGUGGACCUCCUCACUGCUACAUUUGUGGGGGAAAUCAUCGGUCCCACGACUGUGAGCGGCGUGGGAAGUGUUAUCAGUGUGGGCAACCUGGUCAUGGAUGGCGUGAGUGCCCAAUGCGUGUGUCACCGGCUCCGACUUCUGCUUCGGCUCCGCCUGCUCCGCGACAGUUCACAGGCCAUCCGCCCGCGAUGUCUACUGGACGCACCAUGGUGCCGCGUCAAGCCGAGGGAUCUCGUGCGGCGCCAAGUGGACGAGUUUAUGCUGCUCAAGUGGAGGAGCCUGCCGUAGCCGACGAUGUCGUGGCAGGUAUUAUUUUAGUUCAUAAUACUAGAGCUAGAGCAUUGUUUGACACUGGCGCAUCAAACUCAUUUAUUAGCAAGUCUUUCGCUAAAGCUCAUGACAUUGAAAUUUCAUUGUGUGCGGACUUUUGGUGGGUGGAUGCACCUGAGCACACAUUUAGUAUCAAGGAUGAAUGUAGAGCUUGUCCGGUGCAAAUUGGCGAUUGGAUCAUGCCAGUGAAUUUGCUUGUGUUGAACCGGAUGAAGGGCUUCGACAUAGUCCUUGGAAUCGAUUGGCUCUCAAAGUAUCAUGCCACCAUAGAUUGUAAAAGCAAGGUGAUCACUUUUUGUGAGCCUGGUCAGAAGGAAGUUGUUUAUCGUGCAUGCAAGAGCUCGCUCUUUGCUAUGACAGUGUCGACGUCAAGAGCAAGAAGGUUGAUUAAAAGUGGAUGUGAAGCCUACUUGGCGUCGGUGGUGGAGACUCAAAAAGAGCUCCCAGCUCUUGGGGACAUUCCGGUCGUAUGUGAAUUUCCGGAUGUAUUUCCCGCGGAAUUACCGGGAUUGCCACCGGACCGGGAGAUCGAAUUUGUGAUUGAAUUAAUUCCCGGGACGACGCCGAUUUCUAAAGCUCCUUACCGCAUGGCACCAGCGGAGUUGAAGGAAUUAAAGGCACAGUUGCAAGACCUUCUCGACAAGGGCUUUGUUAAGCCGAGUGUAUCACCGUGGGGAGCCCCGGUGUUGUUUGUAAAGAAGAAAGACGGAUCGCUUCGACUCUGCGUGGAUUAUCGCGAGUUGAACAAGGUCACAAUCAAGAACAAGUACCCGUUGCCUCGUAUUGACGACUUGUUUGAUCAGUUGCAAGGGUCGCGGGUAUAUUCGAAGAUUGACCUCCAGUCGGGCUAUCAUCAGUUGAAGGUUAAGCCGGAGGAUGUGCAUAAGACUGCGUUUCGGACGCGGUAUGGGCACUAUGAAUUCACGGUUAUGCCAUUUGGACUCACGAAUGCCCCGGCGGCUUUCAUGGACUUAAUGAACCGUAUCUUCAAGUCUUACUUGGACCGUUUUGUCGUAGUCUUCAUAGACGACAUCUUGGUCUACUCUCGGAGUGAUGAAGAGCAUGUGGAGCACUUGAGAAUUGUGCUACAACUACUUCGGGAGGAGAAAUUAUAUGCCAAGUUAAAGAAAUGCGACUUUUGGCUUCGGAAAGUUGCAUUCCUUGGGCAUGUGAUCUCGGCUGACGGAGUUUCGGUUGACUCGGGUAAGGUGGAGGCAAUAAAGAAUUGGCCUCGCCCGACGAAUGUGACUGAGGUUAGAAGCUUUUUGGGCCUUGCCGGCUAUUAUAGACGGUUCGUGGAAGGAUUUGCUAAGAUAUCUCUUCCACUAACGCGUCUUACUCAGAAAGGAGUUAAGUUUGCGUGGAGCGAGGAUUGUGCUCGAGGCUUUGGGGAAUUAAAGAAGAGAUUGACUACAGCUCCGGUCCUUGCCUUACCUACUCCCGGUGAGAGUUUUGUGGUGUAUAGCGAUGCUUCGCGAUUGGGUCUUGGGUGCGUGUUGAUGCAACGCGGGCAAGUUAUUGCAUAUGCUUCCCGACAGUUGAAGGCCUAUGAGAAAAAUUAUCCAACCCAUGAUCUCGAGUUGGCUGCCGUGGUCUUCGCACUCAAGUUGUGGAGACACUAUUUGUAUGGCGAGCGUUGCGAAGUAUACACCGACCACAAGAGCCUCAAGUAUCUGUUUACACAGAAAGAAUUGAACCUGAGGCAGCGCCGAUGGUUAGAAUUGUUGAAAGACUAUGACAUCACAAUUCUUUACCAUCCGGGAAAGGCUAAUGUGGUUGCCGAUGCAUUAAGUCGGAAGUCGGUGGAAAAUCUUGCGAUGAUGAUUACUAAACAACCGCCAUUGCUUGAAGAAUUGCGGCGUUUCAAUUUGGAAGUGGUAGCUCCGAACGUUCCAAUUGUUAUUGCAAGCUUAGUGGUGCGACCGACCUUGUUGGAGAAAGUUAAGACUCAACAGUUACAAGAUUCAUAUCUCCAAAAGGUGCGAGGUGAUGUUGAGGGUGGACAUGCGAAUGAUUUCAACGUUGGCUCCGAUGGCACAAUCCGGUUUCGAGGCCGAUUAUGUGUUCCUAGUGAUGAGGGAAUGCGGAGCGAGAUCAUGCAAGAAGCACACCAAUCCCCUUAUAGCAUACAUCCGGGUGGCACUAAGAUGUAUAAGGAUUUGAGAAACCAUUAUUGGUGGCCCGGGAUGAAGAAGGAUAUUGGUCGCUUUGUGGCGCAAUGUUUGGUGUGCCAACAAGUUAAGGCCGAACAUCGACUCCCUGCGGGAAAGCUACAAAGUUUACCAAUCCCCGUGUGGAAAUGGGAGGACGUGACUAUGGACUUGGUAGUGGGUUUACCUCGUUCUCAAGGCGGUCACGAUGCAAUAUGGGUGGUCGUGGAUCGCCUCACGAAAUCUGCGCAUUUCAUGCCAAUCCACACCACAUGGUCAGGUGAUAAACUUGCACAAGUUUAUUUGGAUGAGGUGGUCCGACUACAUGGUGUUCCGGUAUCAAUUGUGUCGGAUCGAGACCCUCGAUUUACUUCCCAGUUUUGGAAGAACUUGCAAAGUGCUCUUGGCACACGGCUCGAAUUUAGUACUGCCUUUCAUCCUCAGAGCGAUGGUCAGUCGGAGAGGACGAUACAAAUCCUUGAGGAUAUGUUGCGAGCAUGUGUUCUUGACUUCAAAGGAGGUUGGCAUAGUUAUUUGCCAAUGGCGGAGUUUGCCUAUAAUAAUAGUUAUCAAGCGAGCAUUGGAAUGGCACCGUUCGAGGCCUUGUAUGGACGGAAGUGCCGCUCCCCAAUACAUUGGAGUGAAGUUGGAGAGCGACUUGAAAUGGGUCCAGAUGUAGUACAAGAGGCCGAGGAGAAGGUUCGCAUUGCUCGGCAAAGAAUGCUAACGGCACAGUCUCGGCAAAAGAGCUAUGCUGACAAGCGCCGACGAAGCCUCGAGUUUACCGUGGGUGACAAGGUAUUCUUAAAAGUCUCCCCUAUGCGAGGCGUUAAGCGAUUUGGAAUGCGAGGGAAGUUAAGUCCUCGCUAUGUUGGGCCGUAUGAGAUUUUGGAUCGGGUUGGCCCCGUGGCUUAUCGGUUAGCAUUGCCACCUCGACUUGCGGGAGUGCACAAUGUGUUCCAUGUGUCGACACUCCGCAAGUAUGUUUCUAACUCUACGCAUGUACUCCAAUAUGAACCACCCGAGCUUCAGGAGGAUAUGUCGUACGAAGAAUUUCCGGUGCGCAUCCUAGCUCAUGAGGAGAGAAAGCUACGGAAUCGUGCGAUCGCAUAUGUCAAAGUUCAAUGGAGUAAUCAUGCUGAACGAGAAGCUACGUGGGAGCUCGAAAGCAAGAUGCAUGAAGAGUAUCCUUACCUCUUCCCCGAGUCUAAUUGAGGUAUAAUUUCAAGUUUCGAGGACGAAACUUCUUUUAAGGAGGGGAGGAUGUAGUGUACCGAAUUUUAACAUAGAAGUAAGAGUAAAUAAAAAUAGUGUAAAAUACUAUUUUUAUUGGACUUAAAGAAGUUUUCUAUGUGCAAAUGAGGUGCUUACUUGGGGGUUAAGUUUCCUAUGCAUAAGUAAAGAGUUUACUUGGGGGUCAAGUUUUCUAUGGCUAAGUAAUGGGCUAACUUGGAGGCUAAGUUUCCUAACUUGGAGGCUAAGUUUCCUAUGUAUAUAUAAAUAUGAUAUGAGGACUUGGACCUUUUCUCUCAUUUUCCACCCCUUAACCCAAAAAGAGAAGCCUUCUCUUUCCCUCUCUAAACCUCUCUCUCUCCUAGCUCCUAGAGUGUUACUCCAAAAGUGGAGAUUUGGUGGAAGAAGCUUACUUGGAGGUGGAGCUUUCCUCUUCCUCACCAUUGGCUUGAAGAGAGCUUGGGUUUGGAUCGGAAGGAAUCGACGGCCGUAAAUCGCGCUACUAGGCUACCCGCUUUGUGUCGACGCCACAAGGUGGGGGGUGCUAUCCGAAAUAGCCGGGUUUCAUUCUAUGUCUAAGUUCUACUAUUUUUUGAUCAUAUAUCAUCAUGUGUAGAAUAGUGAGAAUCCUAUGAGUUGUGGUAAUUUCAUGCUUAGUGUGAGGGAUGAUGAUCUAUGAUUGCAUGAUACUUGUAGGAAUAUCUAUUUGCAUGAUGUUGAGAUAGAUAUGGACAUGUAUGUUGCAUGAGAACCUUUAUAUGAUGCCAAUAUAGAUGUAUGUAUACAUAUAGCAUGAGUUGCUAGUGGACAUAUGCAUGUGGAUAUGAUGUGAGAAUAGACUAGAUUCAUGAGGAACUAGUAUGUGAACCAAUGACAUUUGAGAAUUGGAAACCUAUGCAUAUGUGGCCGACUUGAGCAUGCCUUGUGAUGAGGACUUGAUGAUACUCGCUUUGUCUGUUAUAGCUUGUGGAUGGUCGCGCCUCCCAAGCAGUGAGCUCCGGAGUUGUAUCACAAUUGCGAAUAAAGCGGGGGGCCUCUCCCGUCAGACGUCACGGUCCCGUGACAGUGUGUGCGAGUGGUUCGACCUUCGGGCGAAUCGAUUGGACUUGGCAAAAGGCAUGAUCAUGGCAUUUCAUAUAUCGUUUGCAUACAUGAUAGAACUUAAAUUCAUACUUGUUGACAUGAUUAGUAAAGGCAUAGCUACACAUUUGAGCAUGAUAUAGAUGUAGAUGAGCAAGGUAGGCUUGUUGUUAUAUCUCUUAUUUCUUUGACAUAUUAUCCUCUUUAUUGUUUCUAUGCCUUUCUUGGACCUAGUGGGAAAAUCGGCGGGGUCGGCGGCCGAACCCACUGGGAACUUUGUUUAGUUCUCACACCCUGUUUUACAGAGCCUAGUACGAGCGCGUGCGUCGAGGAUCGCGGCAAGGGCAUCGCGCCCUAGAUAGAGUGGACAAUCGACAUUAGCUCGCUACCCCCUAUGUAUAGCAAGGAAUGAAUGAAUGUAAAAACCCUUUUGGAAAGAGAAUAUGAUGUGUAUGUUAAAUGAGAGGUUUUGUAAUAAGCUAGAGAAUGUAAGUUGUUAAAGACUCUAUGUGGAAAUGUUUUAGUAAGUAGCUUGCUUUCUCUUGUGUCUUGAUAUGCCUCUCGCAAAUGUUGAAUGCUAAUAUCUCUUGUUUAGAUAUGUAUGCAUGGACUUUGUUACGCCUUGGGCGGAUAGGGGAAACUCUAUCCGUUCGGCGGAUCUGUUUCAGACCCGAACUGUCCAAAUUGGCGGUGACGGGACGUGACANACUUUUCGGUCGUUUGAAUUUGGGUUUAGUUUAACGACUUUUCGGUUGUUUGAAUUUGGGUUUAGUUUAGCAAUUUUUUGAUCGAUUGAAAUCGAGAUGUUCAUGAAACCGAUUCAUGAAAUUAAUUCAUGCUAGGAGCCCGUUUGUAAAGUCCAUUAAAUUUAUGACAAGGAGGGCCCAUGAAAUUAAUUUAUAGAAUUAAUUCAUGAUAGGGGGCCUAUUUGGCAAACCCAUGAAAUUAAUUUGUCAAAUUAAUUCAUGAUAGGAGGUCCAUUUGGAAAGUCUAUAAAACUAAUUCAUGAUAAGGGGGCCUAUUUUGCAAACCAUGAAAUUAAUUCGUAGAAUUAAUUUAUGAUAAGGGGUCAUUUGGAAAGCUCAGGAAAUUAAUUCAUAGAAUUAAUUUAUAAUAAAGAGCCCAUUUGGAAAGCCCAUGAAUUCGGUUUGGGUUGGAGGUAUUUGGAUGACAUAGGUUUGGUAGAUUUGGUUGGGUUUUAUUUAUGAACUUUGGAUUUUGGAUCUUUGAGUUUUGGAUCUUUAUUUGUGGAUUUUGGAUUUUUGGGAUUUUGUUUGUGGGCUGAGAUAGAUCUUGGAUUUUAUAUGUUCAGGGCCCAACUCUGCAUGUGGGCUGAGACGGGUUACGGGCUUUAAUAUUCUGGGCUCGAAUCUGUAUGUGGGCUGGGUUUUUUAUUGAUUUUGAAUCCAAAUCUGCGUAUGGGCUGGAUUUCGGGCUCUACAGGUUGUGGACUCGAAUUUGCAUGUGGGGUUGGUGCCUCUCUUUUUUUAUUGCUUAUAAAGUUUAUUCGUGUAACCCAUAAAUAAAUAGCUCAAAUUCAUUUCAUCAACAAUUUUUUUUGGUUCCAUUUUUUUUGUUCUUUCUUUUUUUUUUUUUAACUGAGAGAAGGAACAACUUUUUUUUUGCAUUUGUUCUUUUCUUUCAUUUUCUUUUCUUUUUUUUCUCUUUUUUUUGUGUGGACUGUCAGAGAGAGAGAGAGAUACAACUCCCUCUCUCUUUGUCUGUGUGUGUACGAAAUUGAGACAGAGAGAGAGAGGGGGUACCUCUCCCUUUUCUUUUUUUUUUUUGCUAAUUGUGAGAGAAAGGAAACCCAACUCCUUUUUUUUUUCUUUUCUUUUUUUUUUUCUUCUUUUCUUUCUUUUUCCUUUUUUUUUGCUGACUGUGAGAGAGAGAGAGAGGGAAAACCCAACUCUCUCUCUCUCUCUCUCUCUCUCUCUUUCUUUGUGUGCGUACGAAACCGAGGGAGAGAGAGUAGUACCCAACAACUCCUUUUUUUUUUUCUUUCUUUUCUUUCUUUUCUUUUCUUUUUUAUUCUUUCUUUCUUCUUUUUUUCUUUUGUGUUGACUGCCAGAUAGAGAGAAGUCCAACUUUUUUUUCUUUUUCUUCUUUUUUUGUUUGUUUGUUUGUUUGUUUUUUUUUAUUAUUUGUCCAAAUAUACGAAAUUUCGUAUCUCAUUUUUUUUAUACGAAAUUUAUCACGUCGAGCAAUACGAUCAAAUCGAACGAAGAUGAUGAAUCAAAACAGAACCCGUCCAUUUUUAAUUAUCAUUCUUAUUGUUAUUAUUUUUUGUCGCGUUUUGUUCAAGUACGCGGAGUUUAAUCGUGUCGAGCCUAUCACGAAGAUGGCCGCUCGAUUAAUUCUUUUGACCAUGUCGAACCUAUCGCGAAGAUGGCCGCACGGUUUACGUAUCGAAAUAAACAGAGCUCGAUCACCCAUUUUGACCAUGUCGAGCCUAUCGUGAAGAUAGCCGCACGGUUUACAUAGUAAAAUAUCCGGUUCGAUCAAUCAUUUUGACCAUGUCGAGCCUAUCACGAAGAUGGCCGCACGGUUUAGAGAUUAGCGAUGCGUACGAUAGAAGCGACGAUUUAAUGUCAAAUUUGAUCGGUUCAAAACCUAUCACGAAGAUGGUCGGGUUGAUCAAAUUGACAAAAAAAAACUCACGGUUUAGAGAUUAGCGAUGCAUAUACGCGACGGAAGCGACGAUUUAAUGUCAAAUUUGAUCGGUUCAAAACCUAUCACGAAAAUGGUCGGGUUGAUCAAAUUGACAAAAAAACGGACUUACGCUAUGCGUAUGCAUGCAUAUCUCCUACUGUUAUAGAAGUCGUUGUGAUUGUCGUUGUCGAAGUCGUAGCCGAAUUCAAGAGCCAGAGUCCUUUUUUAAUUCUUCUUUUUUUUUGUUGCUUUGUACGGAAGAGGAGGGGUGCACAUGGCACCCCCACUGCCAGCCGAGAGAGAGAGAGUGAGAGAGGAGAGAGAGAGAGGAGAGUAUAAAAACUCUUUUUUUUUUGUUUCUCACCUUUUUUUUCUUUCUUCUUCUUCUUUUUUUCUUUUUUUUUUUUUGCUUUGGUUCUCUUUCGGAUCUCUCCCUUUCUUCCUUCCUCUAAAAAAAUUCUCUCUCUAGACUCCUCUUUCGAAAUUUGGAUCUUAUUUUAUAUAGGAUUCAAAGAUGAUUCCCAUUUGGGAAUAAUUUAAAAAAUCAAUUUAUGAGGAAACAAACCUCAAUCAACUAAUUAUACCUCUUUUGUUUUAUUUUUUGAUAAUUUCCUCUUUUUUUUUCUUUUGAAUCUUUUCUUUCCCUAUUUCCUUCCUUCUAUAUUUUCAAUUUGAAUUUGAACUUUUUUUUUGUCUCAANCUAGGCGUAGCAACUGUUGAAACUUCACAUUGUGACUUAGACUAGAUCUUCAGGAUGCUAGUUAUGACACCAUGUUAGAGACAUGAGGAUUGGAUAGUUGAGACUUGGACCAUGCUUGCUUGCCAUUUGUGCUCAUUCGCACAUGCUUGUGAGGGUCGCUCCCUACAAGCCGGCACUCCGGAGUUAGCCUAUGCGACCUAUGUUCGCUCGUGCGGUAUUGAGAAGCCUACGAGGUCGAGUGGGACAGACACAUUCCAAGAGUAGGAAUGUCGGGCUACCACAGGCACUUAGGCGGCACAAGCUGGACUACCUUUGGUAGGUCCUUGAUUGGAAAUGGAAAUCGAUACGGGGUCGAGAUUGGUUAAUCACUACUAGAUAGGUUUAGUAGUUGGAUUACAUUUAUAUGUUUUUUUGCAUAGUGUUGAGACAUGUAGUAUAUUUGAUAGUCUCUUGUUGCAUUAGAGCAUACUUGGUUGCCAUGAUAGAGCUUAUGCAUCAUGCAUUGAUAAGGGUUAUUGACAUUAGACUAGUGCCAUUGGACGUAAUUGUAAGGAUAGAAUAGAUGUACAUUUUGGUUUGCAUCACGCUUUCUUUCAGCAGUUUAUUUACAUGCUCCUUAUUGCUUAUUAUUAUUAUCGUUGCUUACCUUUGUUUUUGGGGCCUAGUGGAGCAGGAGCUGAGGUCAGUAAUUGCCCACUGGGAACUAUAGCUUAUAGUUCUCACGCCCUCUUUUUCUCGAUGUUUUCAGAGCCUUCCACUCAGGGCGAAGCUAGGGACCGCGGGAAGGGAGUUGCUUCGAGCUAGCUUCCUUUGAGGACGAUUCGCUAGGUGGUCUACCUCUCGUUGUGUUUUACUUUGGAGAGGUUGAGAGUUCUACCAGUGUAUUAGAGACCACCGUUUUUGUACUUUUGAGACAGAUAUUGUACUACUUAUGAUUUCUUUAUUGUCUAGCUUUGCUUGCUCUGAUAUCUCUAGUUGCUAGUUAUUUUAUUUCUUAUAUUUGUUCUAUCUCUUGCUUUUACUUCCGCUUUUAUCGUAGACGCCUUAUAUGUGUAGACAUAUGGCGGGUCUGGGCACGCUACUGGGAGGGCCUCCGCCGGUCCCGGGGCGUGACAUAUCUCUUCCACUAACGCGUCUUACUCAGAAAGGGGUUAAGUUUGCAUGGAGCGAGGAUUGCGCUCGGGGCUUUGAAGAAUUAAAGAAAAGGUUAACUACAACUCCAGUUCUUGCCUUACCUACUCCCGGUGAGAGUUUUGUGGUGUAUAGCGAUGCUUCGCGAUUGGGUCUUGGGUGUGUGUUGAUGCAACGCGGGCAAGUCAUUGCAUAUGCUUCCCGACAGUUGAAGACCUAUGAGAAGAAUUAUCCCACCCAUGAUCUUGAGUUAGCUGCCGUGGUCUUCGCACUUAAGCUAUGGAGACAUUACUUGUAUGGCGAGCGUUGCGAAGUCUACACCGACCACAAGAGCCUCAAGUAUCUGUUUACACAGAAAGAGUUGAACCUUAGGCAGCGACGAUGGUUAGAAUUGUUGAAAGACUACGAUGUCACAAUUCUUUACCAUCCGGGAAAGGCUAAUGUGGUUGCCGAUGCAUUGAGUCGGAAGUCGGCGGAAAAUCUUGCGAUGAUGAUUACUAACCAACCGCCAUUGCUUGAAGAAUUACGACGUUUUGACUUGGAGGUAGUAGCUCCGGACGUCCCAAUUGUUCUUGCAAGCUUAAUCGUGCAACCGACCUUGUUGGAGCGGAUUAAGACUCAACAAUUACAAGAUUCUUAUCUCCAAAAGGUACGAGUUGACGUUGAGGGUGGACGUGCUAGUGAUUUUAGUGUUGGCUCCGAUGGCACCAUUCGGUUUCGCGGUCGGUUGUGUGUUCCUAGUGAUGAGGGAAUGCGGAGCGAGAUCAUGCAAGAAGCACAUCAAUCCCCUUAUAGCAUACAUCCGGGUGGCACUAAGAUGUAUAAGGAUUUGAGAACCCAUUAUUGGUGGCCCGGGAUGAAGAAGGAUAUCGGUCGCUUUGUGGCGCAAUGUUUGGUGUGCCAACAAGUUAAGGCCGAACAUCGACUCCCUGCGGGAAAACUUCAAAGUUUACCAAUCCCCGUGUGGAAAUGGGAGGAUGUGACUAUGGACUUGGUAGUGGGGUUACCUCGUUCUCAAGGCGGUCAUGAUGCAAUAUGGGUGGUGGUGGAUCGCCUCACGAAAUCUGCGCAUUUCAUGCCAAUCCACACCACAUGGUCGGGUGAUAAACUUGCUCAAGUUUAUUUGGAUGAGGUCGUCCGACUACACGGAGUUCUGGUAUCGAUUGUGUCGGAUCGGGACCCUCGAUUUACUUCACAGUUUUGGAGGAACUUGCAGAGUGCUCUGGGCACACGGCUCGAGUUCAGUACUGCUUUUCAUCCUCAAAGUGAUGGCCAGUCAGAGAGGACGAUACAAAUCCUUGAGGAUAUGUUGCGAGCGUGUGUCCUUGACUUCAAGGGAGGUUGGCAUAGUUAUUUGCCUAUGGCGGAGUUCGCCUACAAUAACAGUUAUCAAGCGAGUAUUGGAAUGGCUCCAUUCGAAGCCUUAUAUGGACGGAAGUGCCGCUCCCCGAUACAUUGGGGUGAAGUUGGAGAGCGACUUGAAUUGGGUCCGGACGUGUUACGCGAGGCCGAGGAGAAAGUUCGCAUUGCUCGGCAGAGAAUGUUAACGGCACAGUCUCGGCAAAAGAGUUAUGCCGACAAACGUCGACGAAGCCUCGAGUUUGCAAUUGGAGACAAGGUAUUUUUAAAGGUCUCCCCGAUGCGAGGCGUUAAGCGGUUUGGAAUGCGAGGGAAGUUAAGUCCUCGCUACGUCGGGCCGUAUGAGAUUUUGGAUCGGGUUGGCCCUGUGGCUUAUCGGUUGGCGUUGCCACCUCGGCUUGCGGGAGUGCACAAUGUGUUCCAUGUGUCGACACUCCGCAAGUAUGUUUCCAACUCUACGCAUGUGCUCCAAUAUGAACCACCCGAGCUCCGGGAGGAUAUGUCGUACGAGGAAUUUCCGGUAUGCAUCCUAGCUCGUGAGGAGAGGGAACUACGGAAUCGUGCGAUCCCAUAUGUCAAAGUUCAAUGGAGUAAUCAUGGCGAACGAGAAGCUACAUGGGAGCUCGAAAGCAAGAUGCGUGAUGAGUACCCUUACCUCUUCCCCGAGUCUAGUUGAGGUAUGACUCUAAGUUUCGAGGACGAAACUUCUCUUAAGGAGGGGAGGAUGUAGUGUACCGAAUUUUUUUAAUAUAGAAAUAAGAGUAAAUAAAAGUAUAUAAAAUUGUGCAAAUGAGAGGGGCUAAGGUGUAAUUGUGCAAAUGAGAGGGGCUAAGGUGGAAUGGUGCAAGUAAAAGAGUUUUACUUGGAGGGCAAGUUUCCUAUGUAUAAGAGAUUACUUGGAGGGCAAGUCUCCCUAUGUUAUGAGAGGGACUAAAGUGUAAUUGUGCAAAUCAAGGGUUUACUUGGAGGGCAAGUUUCCUAUGAGUGUGAGUGAACCCUUGCCCCCUUUUUCCCAAACCGUAGGAAAGAGAGAGUGGGCUUUCUCUCUCUUUCUCUCUUUGUCCUUGUGGUCUCUCUUUCUCUCUCUCUUUCUCUUUAUUAAAAAGAGGAUUUGCUAAAGAGAGGAUUUGCUAAGAGAGGAUUAGAGAAUACUAAUUGGAGUUGCUUGGUGGUGAAGCAAGCUUAGUGGAGAAGAAGGCUUGGAAUUGAGCUACUUCCUUCAUCUUCUUCAUCACUUGGAUUAGAGAAGAAAGCUUGUUUAAGGUAAGCUUCAUGGGCUCUAAUGGCAUAUAGCUAGAGAUGGGUUUAAAUCUCUUAGAAUCUAGCUAGAUGGAAAUCCUAGUUAAUGUUAGGUUGCUAUUUGCUUGAAUCAUGAAUUUAUAUAGUAUAUUAUUGCAAUAGUGACCUCUAGGAUUUUGAAAGAGAGCUCUUGAUCAUGAGAGGUUUUAAUCUCAAUUGAUCAUAUGUUUCCGCAAUUGAAGGUAAAACCGAUGCGGAGGAUCAUUCGGAUUGAGAUUCCGUUGAGCCGGUGGUGGUCAAAGUGAAGAAAAUUCUAUUUUGCUUCAUUUGUCGCAGUUGGAAGAAAACAACGGCCAUAAAUCGCGCUACUAGGCUACUCGCUUCGUGUCGACAUCACGAGGUGGGGGGUGCUAUCCGAAAUAGCCGAGUUUCAUUCUAUGUCUAAGUUCUACUUUUAUUGAUCAUAUAUCAUCAUGCAUAGAAUAGUGAGAAUCCUAUGAGUUGUGGUAAUUUCAUGCUUAGUGUGAGGGAUAAUGAUCCAUGAUUGCAUGAUACUUGUAGGAAUAUCUAUUUGCAUGAUGUUGAGAUAGAUGUGGACAUGUAUGUUGCAUGAGAACUUUUAUAUGAUGCCAAUAUAAAUAUUGUACAUGUUGUAUGAAUUGCUAGUGGACAUAUGCAUGUGAAUAUGAUGUAAGAAUAGACUAGAUUCAUGAGGAACUAGUAUGUAAACCAAUGACAUUGUGAGAAUUGGAAACUAAUGCAUAUGUGGCCGACCUGAGCAAAGCAUGCCUUGUGAGGAUAGGGAUAUGGUACUCCCGUGGCCCUCGAAUGAGAGGACUUGAUCAUACUCGCAUUGUCUGUUAUAGCUUGUGGAUGGUCGCUCCUCCCAAGCAGUGAGCUCCGGAGUUGAAUCACAUUGAGAUUGGAACGGGGGAGAGAGUCACUACGGUGCGCCCUCGGCAGACGGUCACGGUCGCGUGACAGUAUGUGUAGCGAGUGAUUCGACCUUCGGGCGAAUCGUUUGGAUUUGACACAGGCAUGAUCAUGACAUUUCGUAUAUAGUUGCAUACAUGAGAGAACUUAAACAUGUACUUGUUGACAUAAUUUGUAAAGGCAUAGCUACACAUUCGAGCAUGAUAUAGAUGUGGAUGAGCAAGGUAGGCUUAUUGUUAUAUCUAUUAUUCCUUUGACAUGUUGACCUCUUUAUUGUUUCUAUGCCUUUCUUGGACCUAGUGGGAAAAUCGGCGGGGUCGGCGGCCGAACCCACUGGGAACUAUGGAUAAUAGUUCUCACACCCUGUUUUGCAGAGCCUAGUUCGAGCGCGUGUGUCGAGGAUCGCGGCAAGGGCGUCGCGCAGUAGAUAGAGUGGAUCACCGGCGUUAGCUCCCUACCCUCGAGAAUAAAAAAGAAAAGAAUGAUAUGUAAAACCCUUUUGUGAAGAAAUGUAAUGUAUUUGAGGGAUGGCAUUUUGGUUGUAUGUAUGAGAAGUCAAGUGAAAUAUGUAAUGGUUCUUGUGUGUGAACAAGUAAUGAAAUAGAUAGUUUAAAUUCUCUCGUUUCUGUGAUUGCCUCUCUCAAUGUUGAAUGCUAACAUCUCUUGUUGGAUAUGUAUGCAUAGACUUUGUUACGCUUCGGGCGAGCAGGGGAAACUCUGUCCGUUCGGCGGGUCUGUUUGGGCCCGAACUGUCCAAAUUGGCGGUGUCGGGUCGUGACAAAACAUGUCCAAGUUUCUAUACAAAAAUAAACAUCUAUUGGGGUUCCUCCUCUAGUGCAAGCAACUAUGGUAGGAGACAUUAUCUAGUUUGCGAUCACCUUACCUUAAUCAGACACUGACACUAAGAACUCUGAAAGAAACACAAUAAAAAGAGGGUGUGAGAAACUGCUGAACAAAAAUCUCCAGUGGGUACAAUUGACGACAACGGCAACCUACACUACUAGGUCAAUUAAACGUAAUAAUAGUAAUAAACUGAGUGAAUAUGAGCAUAUACUAAACUAGAAAGAAAGAAUGCUAUCAUGCCUCUAUACUAACUAAUGAAAAUAGUGAUCAAAUAUGAAGCAUCAACUAUGAUACUAGAUAAAGUGAUGCUGUAUAAUUAAUCAAAUCGUACCGACCAACUCAUAAGUCUGAUCAAGCCUGCGCACGCCUCAUGCCCAGUCCCCACUCCCACAUGUGGUCUGUCUACAUGCAGGCUAUCUAGUUUAUCUAUAUUUGCCAGCCUCCAGAGGGGCACUCGUGGGUUGCGAUCCCGCCAAGUAUCAUAUCAUGUAUCUCUGUUAAGCUCAAUAUGGCUUUCAUAACUAGGCUAUAGUCUGAUGAUAUAAAAGAUCAUAAGUAAUACUGUUUAGGCACCCUCUGGCACAAUCGCAUACUGUCCCACUGUCCAGCACUGUAAAACUAUCUUGUGACACUUUUUUUUUUAUAAAUUUUUGCAUACAAUGACAGGUCAUCAUUAUAUAUAAAAUAUAAUCUCAAAUAGUAGGAAUAUCAAACAUUUGCAAAAUACUCCACAUGCUGAUAAGGUAUUCGAAUAGCAGAAUCAUGCCAACAUAAGUGUCCUCAACUAUACAAAGCCAUUGAACAAGUCACCAAAUCAAGCAUACAAAAACGAAAUCAGAGUUAGUCCACUAUUUUCGGUGACAUGGAAUCCAAAUAGACAAGCUACUUCAAGGAAGGCAAGAUAACGACACACUCCAGCACCUCCCUCCUCAAAAGCGCCAAAAUCCAAUAAGAAACCCCCAAAACUCAGCUCCUAAAAAUCAACAAUUAAGUCCUUUGCUAAAUCAACAUUGAUAAAAAUCCCAAUAAAAAUCCCAAUCUCCAAAUACAAUCGUUACUCGCCACUAAUAAUAGAUAAAGAGAUGGACACCUCAAGCUGUCCUCCUCCUUACUCUACAGGAUCAUCCUUAAGCUACACAAAAUUCCAAAUCCUCAACAGACCAACAAUAAGGAAGAAGGUUACUCAACCUUUGGGUUCUCUUAGCCAGAGCCUUAAGCUACGCUAAGGAGAAAAGGAAGAAGAAGAGAAACAAAAAGGCUCAAUUGGUGAGAAAUGAGAAAAGCUAUGCGCCAUCGUGCUAUUUAUAGAUUGGACAUAAAAGCAAAAAAGCUCUCCAAAUAUUAAAAAAAAUCCACGUCAUGCUAAAACCAAGUUUCACGCGUUCGGAACCAUCUUUCGAGCAUCAGAUUCCUCAAGCUCCAUAGCUUUCGGGCACUCCCAACAUGCAAUGGAUCACCUGAACCAUCGUAGUGCUCACCAUUUCUAUCAAAUCAACCCCAUCUAAUUGUUGUGCUGCUACAGUAACAAAUGAGCACUUACAAACCAGCUACUCAACACAUCCUAAUCCAUCUACGAUAGAAUUGGGCAGCCAGAACUUCACCCAAAGCUUUCGGGUGCUCGAUCCAACAUUUCGAACACCCUUUGCACUUAGCUCACCAUUUUCGAGCACCCUAGACUCUGUCCGAGUAUCCGAAAAAGUUUGAAACUUCAGUUUUAGUUGAGUUCAGUAUCCCAAGCCCGUUUUCACGCCAAAACUGCUCCAACUCAAUCUAACACCUUACAUAAGUGCCAACUAGAAAGCCAUACUAUAAUCUUUUGUAGCACACUGAAUUUCAGCAAGUUGCAGGGUUCUAUUGAGAGAAAGUGUUUUGUACUAUUCUGGAGGUUUUGAAUGAUAUUGGAGAGCUUAGGGACGUUUUUAGGACUUAAUUAGCGCGAAAACGAAUCUUGGAGAUUAAAAUCUGCAAAAACAGCAGUUUGGCAUUGUGAACUGGUACUGCAUGUGUGUAGCGGAGCUCAGUUGAAGACUAGGUUGGAUCGCUCUCGAGUUUUGCGAAAAUGGGCUGGGUACUGGUAUUGAUUCUGCAUGUAUUGGUAAUGAUUCGGGCUGUGCCGGAACACAGUAGAGGGUUGUGGAAUCCAAAGUUUGAGUUUUGCGGAGCUGGAUUCGAGUACCGGAGCACUUCGGUCGUGUACCGGUACUCCAUUUCAUGUACCGACACUCAAUGGUGUAGAAAUUAUUUCACUUAGGUUGUAAUUUUCAAGUUUUGGGGGGCCUUUGGGAAUAUUAUUACAACAGGUAAAAUACCUCCUUCACCCAUCUCAUUUGCCUAUUGCAGCUAUAGCAAGAGCAAGGAGAGAGAUAUGAGUUUCUCCCCUAUUUUCCUUGGGUUUCUUCCUCCAAUCCCCCUAAUCCUUGGAUUUCUCUUUCUUUUCCUUUUCACCAUAGAUGCUUGCACCUAGAGCUUGGAGUGGAGUUUGGACUUGAAGGAAUUGUUUGGAGCCCUAAGCUUCAACCCUAGCAUUUCUAAAGUGGGAUUGGAGCUUCGAUUAAGGUUGGUAACCUUCUUUAAUCCUUUACUUGAUAGUUUUGUAGGAGUUUUGGUAGAAAAUCUAGUUUUGUAGAAAUUAGACUUUACUUUAGAAAUUUUCAAUUGUGAGGUUUUAUGUUGAAAUUGAUGAGUGUAGAACACUCUUAUAGGUUGGAAUUUAAGCCCCAUUUCUUUGAUUUGAAGCUUGGACGAGUUUGCCUUGGUCUAAGGUAUUUUACACUCAUUUUGUGAGAGGGUUUUUAAAUGUCCUAACCCCUUGAAAAUUUUUCUUAGUACAUAUUAUAAGUAGAGGACAACUUGUUUCGAGAAACAAUCGGAUUUCGGUGGCUAUCUAGUGAGUUUGACCUCACCGAAAUUGGUGAACUCUCCCUAUAUCUCCUAUUAUGUUUACAGCGCUUAAUAGAUGUUCUAACAUGAAAUUUAUGACAUCAUUAAAUUUUUGAGCAUGUGAUUGACCACUUUGUCACGUCCUGGGGCCGAUUAUAAAAGCCUUUUUAUAAUUAAUACUAUUUUUUGAAAAGUUUUCAGAGUUGCGGAAAACAUGCCAUUUUUUUUUGAAUUCAACCUGACCCACAUGGCGUACCGCCACAAAUACAAAGUUCCUCUGCCCACAUUGACAGAGUCUCCUUUGCAUUUGCACGGCGUACCCAAAGAUAACGACAACAGGAUCACAUCUCACAAUCUACAUUUACCAAUCCACAAGCAAUUCAUGUGAUGCAAUUCCAUACAGCUAGUGAUCCUUAAAGAUGAUGUAUGCUUCUAAACACUCCUUAGGCGCUGGAUAAUGCGAUGUACAAUACAACAGUCAUCCUAUUUAAAAAUGCUCUCUACCCGGAAGCUUUGUUUUUAAACUCUAUUUGUUCAUCCAUGAAAAUAAUUCAAAAACCUUUUAAAACUAUUUUUCACUCGAAAACUCUAUUUUUGAAAGCCGAUUACCUCGAGGGGUAGAAAACCACAACGUAUAAAUCCAGAUACCAAAGAUCCAUAAAACUCCGAUUGCAUGCAUAAUAGAAAACAUCAACUCAUACAAGUUCACGAUUAGUCAAGCAGUAACUAUGAUCAUCUAACUGAACCAUUUAUUAUUUAAAUUACUAACUAUAGAAAAGAAAAUAACCAGGGUAAUGACUGCUAAUAUGGCCUAGCUAGAACGUCUUUCCGUCGCACCAAGAACCAACUCCUUGCCCUUGCCACUUGGGGAAAUGGGGGUGAGAAACCACAAUCAAGGUUUUCCAGUGGGUACGACAGAGCCACGAAGGCAAAUCAUAUUUACUAGAAAACAAAGGAAAUAGAUCAACAUGUAUACAAGAUAUAUAAGUGAACAACAGUAUUAAUUACAAAAUAGUAAAUGAGUAAGGGAUAAGGCUACUACUGUAUCAUAAUCUCAACUGAAUAGAUGCCUCAAAGGUAAAUGAUCCAAUCAAAUCCAAUCUGGUGCCUGCCAUAUGACCGCAGACCUUAAGCUUGCAUGUCACAGGGCAUACACUUACUUGAUUCACGUGUCCACUGACGACCUAUUCGGAUACGUACAGCACCUGGUCGGUGGCCAAACCAACCGGUGUCUAGAAUACACAGUGCCGUGACUAAAUCAUACUGAUAUGCUCAAUGUGAAAAUCAGUAGAAAAUCGAUGCCCUGCCCUAAGCUAGAUACAAAGGCGUAUAACGCCGAACCAUGAUCAACUAGAUUGAAACUGUAAUGUACCGAGUCCUCGAUGCGUAAACCGAACUUUAGUCCAAAUUGACCAAAGUAUGGUACUGGACGCUUCGGAAAGGUCCGUUGAGUGUUCUGAGCGAUCGAAAUGGCUUAUAAGGGUAUGAAGGACCUUGGAGAGCAAGAUGGAGAAAUUACAAAAAAUUUCGUGCUGGAAAUGCUCUCGGGACUCGAACAUGAAAAAUCUCAGCGUUAAGUGAGGGCUUGCUUUGGUGAGGGGCCUUGGUGCAAUUAUGCAGGGCAAGUGUUUAUAUGAAGGUUCCAAGCUUAUUCCUUCAUUUCCCUCACGCUUGCAACAUAAGAGAAAAGCUUCUCUUUCUCUCUCUAAAUCUCUCUCUCUCUCUCUUAGGGUUUGCUCCAAGAGAUGGAGUUGGUGGAGGAGAGCUUGCUUGGUGGUGAAGCUAUCAUCUUCUUCACCCUAGGCUUGAGAAGAAGCUUGAGUUGAGAUAAGCCUCAUGGAUUUUGAGGGUUUUGGAGUUUAGGUUUUGUAUAAUCCCUUAGAUGUGAGUUCUAAUGGAGCCCUAGAUGAAUCUAAACCAUGUUAUAGCAUAAACUACCAUGAGAUUUGGAAUUUUAUGCCAUAUGAGGAUUUUUAGGGUUUUGAAGAGGGCUUUGAUCAUGAUUGGAUUUGAUCUAAAUUCAGCCUAUGUAAACCUAAUUGAAGGUGAAACCGACACGGUGGGCAACUCGAAUCGGAGUUCCUACGGGCAUGCAGCGAGUUAUUGAAGAAAAGUACGAUUUUUGGUUCAUUUGCAUUGGGUCGAGCCGAAACGACGUCCAUAAAUCGCGAGGCUUGGAUUCUCGCACCUCGGCAUCGUAGAGAGGUGGGGUGGUGCUAUCCGAAACAAUCGGAUUUCCUUUUAUGUCUAUGUCAUCAUAUUGGCCAUGUAUACACAGGUGUAGGAUUCAUGCAUUGUAGAAUAGUUUGUAUUGGUUAUUCCAUUCGUUGCAUGCUCUCAUGGUAAAUAUAGAAAAUAUGAGAUGGAACAUAGUGGGUUAUGUGCAUGAGGAUUGGAUUGAGAAUAAGAACUCUAUAAUGCUAUGACAUUGUGAACUUACAAACAUAGUGACAUAAACAGGUGGCAUUUGGAUAGUAAACUGAGAACACUCAUGACAUGAGAAUAGGGAUUGAUAUCUCCCUUGGCAUUUGUUACCACUAAUUGGUAGGGUAUCGUCGGGAUAAAGGAUUGGAUCAUACUCACAUUUUGUCUGUUCGCUUGGCGUUGGUCGCUCCACCCAAGCAGUGGUUUCCGGAGUACUUCACGGUAAGGGUUAACGUAGCUACCCUGCAGACGGUCCCCAAUGGGUGUAGCUGGGCUCCCCAUUUGCUCGAUUCGUGUCACGCCCCGGGACCCUGCAUAGGUCCGCCCGGUGUGUGCCCAGACCCGCCAUAUGCCUGCACAUAUAAGGCGUCUACAAGAAUAGAGAAAUGAAAGCAAGAAGGAGUAAGACAACUAGAGAUAUCAGAGCAACCAGCAGCUAAAAUACUAGUAACAAGUAGAGAGAAAAGAAAACUAAUCCACUAAUAGUAAAACAUAAGGAAAAUACAUCAUCUGUCUCAAAAUACAAAAUGGGUGGUCUCUAUACAUGGUACAACUCUCAACCUCUCCAAAAUAAAACCAAUGAGAGGUAGACCACCUAUCGAUACGUCCCUCGCAAAAGAGCUAGCUCGAGGCGAUGCCCUUUCCGCGAUCCCUAGCCUCGCCCGGUGUGGAAGGCUCUGAAAGGAAACAAGAAACAGGGGGCGUGAGAACUAUAAUUUAUAGUUCCCAGUGGGCAAUUACUGACCUCGGCACAAUGCACCACUAGGCCGAAAAGAGUAAGAUAGGUACGAAAAGCAAUAGAAAUAAACUACAGAUAUUAAAGCAUGUAUAAGCGCUAACUACUAUGCCAUAAGCGUUAAGAUGACAAUAUGUGGCUCAUUCAUUCUAUCAUGCUCAAGUAUGUCCAAUACAUAACUAGUAUGAUCCCAUAUGGCAAGCAAGUAUACUAAAAUGCAAUGAGCGUUAUUAUCAAGUAUACUAUAAGUCCAAAAGCCCAAACCUAUGCUAUAAGCAUGUCCAAGAAACCCGACCACUAUAAUCUAUUUAGUAAUGAUUUUACUUAUGCGACUCCGUGUCGAUUUCCAUUUCCAACGAAGGACCUACCCAAGGUAGUCCGGCUUGUGCCCCCUAAGUACCUGUGGUAGCCCAACAUUCCCACUCGAGGAAUGAGUCUGUCCCACCCGGCCCCAUAGGCUUCUCAAUACCGCACGAGCGAACAUAAGUCGCAUAGGCUAACUCCGGAGUGCCGGCUUGUAGGGAGCGACCCUCACAAGUAUGUGCGAAUGAGCACAAAUAGCAAGCAAGCGUAGUCAUCGUCUCAAAUACCUAAUCAUCAUGUCUCUAACAUGGUAAUAGUCACUAGCAACCCAUCGGUCUAGUCCAAUGUCCAACGUGAAGGUUUAACCAUUCAUUAUGUCCAAUGCCCUUUUAUGGCAUUACAUCUCACUAUGCCGAAAUCUUGUUCCAACACUAAUGCCACUUUAUGACAUUAGGUUUACUAAGUCCACACAUAUUUCAAGCCUAAUGCUCCUUUAUGACAUUAGUUUACUAUACCAAUUCGAAGCCCAAUGUCUCUUUAUGACAUUGGCUUGCUAAUUCACAAAUCACUCUAGUCUAAUGUCCCCUUAUGAUAUUAUCUACUAGGUUCACAUAUGGCCCAAGCUCAAUGUCGCUUUAUGACAUUAGCUCACUAAUUCACAUGAAAUUUAAGUUCCAAGCCACUUCAUGGCCUAAUGUAUUCUCAUAUGUCCAAGGUAUACGAUCAUGGUCAUUUCACUAUAUGAAACAUGAUUUUAAGUCCCGAAUACGAAUGCUAAACUCAUGCAUAAAUCUCACAUGCAAGCUCUCUACUACAUAGAGAUCCAAAAAUACAUUGUAUACAACAUAAGCAUUUUAAGCAUUCUAAAAUUCAUAAAUAAUGCAUCUAACAUAAACAUGCAUGAUUUUUCAUUUUACGAUACUUAAAUCCACAAAAAUGAGAUUUUUUCAUUCUUAGGUGAGAUCAAACCCACCGAGUGUCACGCCCCGGGACCCAGCGGAAGCCCGCCCGGCAUAUGCCCAGACCCGCCAUAUGUCUAAAACAUACAAGGUGUCUAAAACAAAGUGAUAAAUAAAGCAGUAAAAAGAGAACAUCUAGGAGUAUCAAAGCAAGUAUAUCUAGAGGCUACAAUAGAGGAAAAGAACCAUAAAACUAAAAUCCACUAGAUGAAAACAUAAAGUAGUACAAUAGGAAUCCCAAGUACGAAAACUAAGCAAAAUACAUAGGUGGUCUCUAUACAUGAAACAAAAUCUCUCUCUUGCAAUACGACAAAUGAAAGAGAAAGCCACCUAAAAGCAAGCGUCCUCUCCGCUAGCUAUCUACGCGACACCCUUGCCGCGAUCCCUUACCUCCGCCGGUGCCGAAGGCUCUGAAAAGAAACCAUAGAAGUAGGGCAUGAGAACUAUUAAAAAUAGUUUCCAGUGGGCAAUUACUGACUUCAGUGCAAUGCACCACUAGGCCCAAAAGCUACAAAAGAUGGGUCAAUAGAUAGUAAACGAAAACGAUAAGUAAAUAAAUAUACAAGCUUGCUACCACAUUUUUUUACGAUUGGUAUAGCAUCCAACACAUGAGCCGGAUCAUGGAUGUACUUCCGAAGGACCAAUACAUGAAAAAUAUUGUGUACACCCGAUAGGUUCGGUGGUAGAGCAAGUCGAUACGCUACCGGGCCCACACGCUCCAAAAUCUCAUACGGUCCAAUGAAUCAGGGGCUGAACUUACCCCGGAUACCAAAUAUUCCAAUUCUCUUGGUCGGCGAGACUUUCAAAAAGACAUGAUCUCCAAUCUAAAACUCCAAAUCUCGUCGACGCUUGUCAGCAUAACUCUUUUGUCUACUCUGGGCUGUCAACAGUCGCUCCCGAGCAAUACGAAUCUUGUCCUCUACUUCCUGGAGCACAUCGGGGCCUAAAGCCAAUCUCUCGCCAAUUUCGCUCUAAUGAAGUGGCGAUCUACACUUUCGUCCAUAAAGUGCCUCGAAGUGUGCCAUCUUGAUGCUUGCUUGAUAACUAUUGUUAUAAGCAAACUCUGCCAUCGGUAGAUGCUGCGACCAUCCUCCCUGGAAAUCGAUCACAAAGACUCGAAGCAUAUCCUCAAGAGUCUGUAUAGUGCGCUCGGACUGCCCGUCACUCUGAGGGUGAAAAGCUGUAUUGAAAUCCAAGCGUGUGCCCAAGACAUUUUGUAAGCUCCUCCAAAAAUGAGACACAAAACGGGGGUCUCGAUCCGAAACUAUAGAAGUAGGUACCCCGUGCAAUCGCACAAUCUCAUCAAGAUAUACCUGUGCGAGUCUCUCACCAGUCCAAGUAGUGUGAAUAUGUAUGAAAUGAGCCGAUUUCGUCAACCUAUCCACGAUCACCCAAAUAGCAUAAUGCCUGGCCUGUGAGCGAGGCAAUCCCAUCACGAAGUCCAUGUUGAUCUUCUCCCACUUCCACACUGGAAUCGGUAAGUUCUGCAAUUUUUUCGGGGGGACUCGAUGCUCAGCUUUCACCUGUUGGCAAGUUAGACAUCUAGCAACAAACUCACCAACGUCCUUUUCAUCCCGGGCCACCAAUAUAGCAACUUUAAGUCCUUGUACAUCUUGGUGCCUCCCGGAUGGAUCGCAUAGGGUGCACGGUGUGCUUCUUGAAGAAUGUCCUCUUUAAUACCCAAAUCCGCCGGUACACACAACCGCCUGCGGAAACGCAUCAAUCCAACACCGUCCACAGAGAAGUCACCAGUGCAACCAUCAACCAUCUUAGCUCUAAGCCUUUGCAACUCCACAUCGUGAGCUUACUUUUCCUUAAUUCUAUUCAAAAGGGUGGGUUGCACCACCAAAGCUAUCAACCUCAAAGGUGUAUCAGGAGCCACCACCUUCAACUCCAACCGCUUCAUCUGCUAGAUCAAGUGCGGUUGAGUAACCAUAAGCAUCGCUAAGUUUUCCAUCGAUUUCCGACUUAGCGCAUCCGCCACCACGUUAGCCUUGCUCGGGUGGUAAAGGAUCGUCAAAUCAUAAUGCUUGAGGAGCUCCAACCAUCUGCGCUGCCUCAAGUUCAACUCUUUCUGAGUGAAUAAAUACUUUAAACUCUUGUGAUCCGUAUACACCUCACACCGCUCACCAUACAGAUAAUGGCGCCAUAGCUUCAAUACAAAGACUACGUGUAAUAUACCAAAACUUCGAAAAAUAAAUAUCGAACUUUAGUCAAAUUGACCAAAGUGCGAGGAUGGUACACUUCGGAAAGCCCGAAGGUGUUAAAAUGAUCAAAAGUGAGUUACGGGAGGUUUUCGAGAGCUAAAGAAUCAAAUUCUGCAAAACUGCAGAUUUUGAGCUCUCGGGGACCGGUCCCUGGUGGGAGAGACCGGUCCCCGAACGCGUAUGAAAUGAGACAGCCGAAAAAUCGGCUAAGUCCCGGAAGAUUAGCUCUCGGGAACCGGUCUCUGCCUGAGAGACCGGUCCCCCAGAGACCGGUCCCAUCGUAGGGAGACCGGUCGCAUCGCGCGCAGCGACUCUGGCUGCGCAGGGUGGACGUUCGGGAACCGGUCCCUGCUCGGGGAGACCGGUCUCUGCCUGCGCGAUCAGCCCAGUUCGGGCAGCGUAUUAAAGUGAAAGUUGAGGGGUUUAGCUGCAAUUUUGCAACCCAAUAGGCUAAGUAUGAGGGCAAAUGAGAUAUUUCUCUCAUUUCCUCACCCUCUCACACUCUCUUCUCUCCCUCUCUCUCUCUAGAAGACAAAAGAGAAGAAGAAGAAAGGAAGAAGAAAAGGAAAAGAAGAGGAAGAAAGUGAAGAAGAAGAAGAAGAAGUGAAGAAACUCCUUCUCCUUCAUCUCUAGCUUGAAGAAAAGGAAAGCUUGAGGUAAGCUUUGAACCCUAAUGUAGUAAAACCCUAGAAAUGGGUUUGAAUGAACCUAGAAAUGAUUUUUAAUGGAAUGUCUAAUAGUUUUGAAGCUUUCUUUUGCUUCUUUAGAGAUCAAAACCUAGUUUUGCUAUAUAGGUGAGCUUGGACCACCUCUAAUGGUGAAAUCCAAACUAGGGAUUUGGAAAGGCUAAGAAUGGUUCUAAUGGACUAUUUAGAGUGUAAUGAAGCUACUUUUGCUUCUCUUUGAGAUCAAACCCUAGGUUAGAUACAUGUGUUGGAGCUAGGGCACCAAAUUGGGGCUUUUGCUCAUGAGGGUUUCUAAGUGCAAUUGACCCUCUAGAAACCUAAUUGGGGGUAUUUCCGACGCGUUGGUGCGUUCGGAUUAACGUUACGAAAAGCCGAUGAAAAGUUAUGGGCAAAAUGGCCUAAGUUGGCUUCGUUUUGCCGCAGGUAAAGAACGAAGGAUCUAAAAAUCCCGAGAAAAUCGUCGAAGCACCUAAAGAGACCUACAAGGUGGGUGGUGCUUUUCAAACUCAUUGAAAUUCUCUCUAUGCCUAAUGUGUCAUUCUUUGAGCAUAUGUUCUAUAUAUUGUUGCAUGCAUUUUAGGGUAAAGUAAUGAUGAAAUGUGAUGAUUGCAUGAUUGUGAGCACAACUUGCAUAAUGAGAUGGUUGAGAACCUAAUAAUAUCAAAACCCUAGAUGUAUGCAUGAGAGAAAAUGUGAGUACCCAAAGUGAGCAAAAGAACAAAGUGGCACAAUGACAUAGAUCGAGUGGCAUUUGAAAAUGUAAAGUAAAGAGACACUAGAGAUAGUGUGAGGUAAAGAACCAAUGUAAUGUAAAGAAUGCUGAAAAUGAUAAUGCUUAAAGUUAACGCAAUGUGGGAAGUAAAGAACGUGAAAUGCUAGAGGUAGCCAAAAGUAAAGAAUGUAAAGAAUAUAAUUGCUAGAGUUAGCAAAAGUAAAGAACAAUGUAAAGAAUGUGAUUGCAUGAGUUUGCAACAUAAAGUGAUGUAAAGAACACUAGAGCUAGUGUAAAGUCAAGAUUGAACUUAUAAAUCCUUUGAGUUAAGGAUAUGAUCAUGCUUGCUAUGAGUUCCGUGCUCGAGGGCGGUCGCUCCCCCUCGGGCGAUGCGCUCCGGAGUUAUGCAUCCGGGUUGGAGUAGACCCGUAAGGACGGUCCUAGCUGGUGAGUUCCUGCGAUGAUGGACUUAAUGUGAAGCAAGUCGAUGUGGCGAAGCCCCCGGGUUAGCCUUAAUGAUUAAAGAACAAAGAACAAAGAGUAAAGAAUAAAGAACAAAGCACAAAGUAAAGUCAAAGAAUGAAAGAAUUUGCAUAAUCUGCAUUUAUUUAAUGUUGAGCAUACUUCUUGCUUAUUGUUCAGGCAUAUUAGCAUCAUGUUAUAGAUUGGUUACUAUACAGCUUAUUCUUUCUACUAUGCCUGAGUUAGUCCUAGUGGGAAAGUCGGUGAUGUUGAGGCCGAACCCACUGGGAACUUUGUUGUAGUUCUCACCCCACUAUUUCCACAGAGCCGGGACCGAGCGAGCCGGCGAGCGACCGAGGUAAAGGUAUCGCGCCUUAGUCAGAGGCCACCACAGUUGUGUUCAUUUUGUAGUAAAGUACCCUAUGUUCAUCUUUUGUAUAUGAUGAUUAGUGAUGCAAAGAAAAGAAUGUAAUGUGCAUUUUGAGGUAAAUGUGAUGUAAGAAAGAAAUGAUGUAAUGAAUGUAAGAAUUCGAUAAAUUACUAGAAUGCAAUGUAUGUGAUCUAAAAU